This 80181-nucleotide long non-coding RNA is filed under the name Coffea arabica (coffee). RNAcentral describes it as "long non-coding RNA (CARA_LNC000917)". The record is from RNAcentral. Lineage: Eukaryota; Viridiplantae; Streptophyta; Magnoliopsida; Gentianales; Rubiaceae.
UGAUUAUUGCACCAGACGGUUGCAGUUCUCCAUCUCUAACUUGAUGUGGAUUAUUAGCAUGCCCUAGACACGUCACGAAGAGAUCAAACUUGAACCGAAAUUCAAAUACUAGAAGACAAGUCCCCACCUAAAAAAGGAAAAAUGGGGAUCCAAAUCACAGUGGAACUCAUGAAAUUGUAUAUACUUAAAAAAAAGUUUCAAAUGUAUAAAGUUAUGAAGCACCACUGCUGGUAGCGACUGACUCCUGAAUUACAGCUCAACAGACAAGUGAAACUGGAAAUUCAUCAGUGUUUUUCCACGGGUUCUCGUUGAGCCCCAUCAACGCUUUUCUCAAUUGGAGGCAAAGUCUGCAAGCUCACCAGCAAACUACAUUACAAUUUUAGGCUAACUUCACAAAAGAGGUCCCAGUUAAAAAUACUAGUAAAACUCAAGAGGAAAGUUUUGCACGGUUCGUAUGGGCAUUUUAUCGAACAGUUGUACGAGCUGUGUGAGUAUUUAGAGGGAGAGAGAAGGGGGGGGGGUUGUUACCAGAUCAGGCUUAUAGAUGUUGUGGACGACCGAGGCACCGGCGAGGAGCGAAACGAUCACGACAGCGCACGACCAAGCUAACGACGGCGUUCCAGUUGGCGGUUUCCCCCCUCCAAAUUUCUGAUUCAUUUUCCACUUCCCAAGUUCGCAAACCCUUUGUACAAGACGACCCUCCAGCCGGCAAUCGCCAGAAAGAGCGUUAUACUCUUGAUAAUUAUGAGGCCCAGUAUGAUAAGAGAUGCCUUUCCAGGAGCCCAAUGGCCAGAUCAAUGUCAAUCUCCUCUAUCUGUCAUGAUCAAUCUGGGCUUGACCUCCCGGAAGCUCUUCGCGGCCCAAAAUAAACAGCACAGAAGAAAAUGUCAAAGUUUUGCUUCAUUUCGCGAGGAAUAAUUUUUGUUUUCUGUAAACAAACCGAAGUAAAAAUUAAAAAAAAAAAAUUCACAAUAACCCGUGGAGCUAGUUCGCAAAAGUUUUUCAAAUGUAUAAGCAUUUAUCUUUUCGAAUAAUGUUCUUAAGAUAGUUUUCUUCAUAAUAUUAGAUAACUUUAUUGCACAAAAAGAAAAAUAAAAAAAAGAACUCUCUGAAUUUAGAUGUUAAUUUGAAUUUAAAAUUCAACUUUUACACAUAUAUUAUGAAUUUAAUAGGGAUGAUUGUCUCAAAAUAAAUUGAAAAAAAAAAAAAGCCAAAACAUGCCAACUUCUUUCAGAAGUAAAACACUUGUUUGAAAUUUCAGUAUGACAACAAGGGAAAAUGUAUAGCAUAUAAAAAACUUUUCUUUUCAGCGACAAAUAUUCAGUAAAGUUUUAUCAUAGCAUAACAGACAGUUUAAACAAGCGAUGGUAAAGACAAGUUCUAAAAUUUCACAUCAUCCCAUAAUACACCUAUCUGUAUAGCGUAUACGACUCUGAAACUCAUGCUAGAACAGCCAAAACUCGAAAGCUUACUAAGAGGAACUCUUUUUUAAAAAAAAAAAAAUUUUAUUACUUACACAUUACAUUAUGCACAUUUAGCACGUUGCAACACCAAAGGCUGAAAGGCAGUAUUAAAGAUGAAGAAAAUUUUCAUCUUUUUUAGGAAAAAAAGUAAUUGAGAAUCAAAAUGCAUCAAUAUCAUGAAUUCUAUGUCAUAUCACCUAUAAAGAAGGGUCCCUUUUUUAUGCUUCACAACCCAAAAACGGGAAAAAAGAGAGAGAAAGAGAUAUAUACCGUCAACUAAUAUUGCUUUUGUUAGAGCUAAUGAUUUUUUAAAAAAUUGUAAGCCAGCCAAAAAUCAAUUUGGGGGGCCAAUUUAUGACCAAGAAAAAGAAAAAGUAAAAACAGAUGAGGAAAAUUUAUGAUAUUUAUGUUUAGAAAAAUUAAAUUCAACAUCAUAAAAGGGCAGGUGGCGCAAAAAAAAUUGUGAUUAGUAGGAAGAUCUGAGCUUUACAAGUCUUGGUCUCAGAUAGAAACCCGAAACCUCUCAGUCAUUAUUCAAUCAGGAGUUUUACAAGAGCAAAAAGAACAAGUAAAACAGAAAUCCGGAAUUUCAGAAACCAAUUGAAUGAGAAUAACAAUUAAAUUGACCUGUUAAAACGACGAUUCUUGAAAGAUGAUUGAACGAAAACCAGAGCAAGGAAUCUGCCUGCUUCUGCUGUGAUAAACCAAGCCCUAAACUUUAUAGUGUGAGUGCUGACUGCUGAUGGAGCAUGUUAUGACUUAUAAGUCAGGCCGCUUCGGUCCAGUGAGCAACACUCGGGUUUAGAAGUCUAAUAAUGUUUGAACCGGAUAUUGAAGGCAGCCGUGGUUUUAAGAAACUCUAACUCUCCUCCAAAUGUCCCGUCCCAAUAAGAAACUCAGAUUCCCCUCUAAAUUGAUCUUUAAUUAGACCUCUAAACUUCAAUCUCAAUUCUGGGGUUUCUCUCGGAGCUCAUUACUGCACUGCAGAUUGCGGACUAAAACCAAAAAGAAGAGGGAGGUGGGAGCCAGAAGUAGCAACAUUUCGCUGCUGCCAAUCACUGAGAGGUCGCUUGGUAAUGUUUAUGUUUCCUUUUUUAUGUUUAUGUUCAUAAAAUUCUACAAAUAAAAACAGUAAACAGUUUUUGUUAAAAGUGAUUGUGUUUUAGUACUAGGUGUGACAAAGGUUUCUCUAAUAGAAAAUUAGAUUGAUGUUCACUGUAACAAUUGUGAGAAAUUUAGCUUUGAAAUACUUUAGCUAGUAAAUUUGCUGGGCAUCAAAUUUUUUGGUCUAGUUUUUACAAUGAACUUGUAUUUCAGUUAUUUCUCCUGUCAGGUGUUAAACUUUUAAACGCUCAUUUGCUUCUCAUACAAAGCUCCAAGGCUCAUCAAAUGACUAGUAUGUAAAUGAAUAUCUAAGUUUGAAGGUAAUCACUUUAAGCAUUCCUAAAACCCAUGUGGAAGAAUGUUCUUGCUGAUUAAGUUUUUACAGCAACUUGAGAUCCUGAAAUUGCACUCUCUUCAACUCCCAGGCAACAUCCUUUUUUCACAUUUUUUGCCCUCUUUUCUAGCUGUCUUUGUUAUCUGACCAGGAUAAGAUACCAAACCCAAAUCCAAUGGCCAUGUCAACUUUCUUUCUUUUUUGUUAGUAAAGGCCAGUCAUCAUAGCAAGCAAACAAUAUACAAGUUCAACGCAGUUGAUGAACUCUUCUGUAAAUUAAAUUAUUUCCUCAUACAAACAUAGAAUGGAAAGCAAAAACGAAGUAAACUUAUUAGUUAAAUAUCAAGAAACUGGAUGUAAUGCUUAAUUAACAGCAGUCUGCCAAAAUUCAACCGUUCAAAAAAGUUUAACUGCAUAAAAUGGAAAUUAAAGCAUAAUGAUCUUACUCGAAAUGAGUAAGUUUUUUAUUUAACUGCCUAUUGUAAAAUCCCUGUCCCCUCCCAUCUAGUACCAUUACAGUGAUAGUGUUGCUGCACUUCUCCUACUUUAUUAAAUUUACAUAAAACAGUCUAUAGAAAACUUAUUUGAUCAUUUAAGCAUAAAGCCAUUAGGACUUAGUAGUGCAUUAACUAUUACAAAAACAUAAUCUUCAACUAAGUUGCUUUAACCAACUACCAACAAAGUCAGCUCCAUCUUUGUCAGAUUAUUUUUUAAUUGGAAAAAAAUGCAAAAGUCUAAGACUUGUAAACAUUUUAAGUAAUCAAUGAGACUUUUCAGGUAGCCACAAUGCUAUCUAAAUUUUCAAAAGAAAGAAAACCUGUAAAGUAUUUUAUCAUCAAUGGUCUGAACCACCAAUUUUAACAUCUAUGACAGUUCAUCAUUAACAAUAUAUUAAUAGUUUCAAUCUUUCAAAUUUCUAACUAUUCCAUGGGAGAAAUGGGAAAACAACUUAUUCACAAGUUUCAGGCUAAAAAUCUAACACUAAUGAAAAGCAUACUUGGCAAGAUUACUACAUGGAAAUUUAGCUAGAAUUGUAACAAUCUCAAAAUCUUGAGUAUCACCUACCUCAGCUAUUGAAAAACUUGUAUAGUGGUUUCUUUGCUACACGUGUUGUAACAUGGGACAAUAAUCAAGCACUACCCUUCAGCAAGCCCUACCGCCAUUGCUGAAAUCUGAGUUACAGCAGGUCCCUGCAUGACAAACAUACAAAGAGUUUAAAACAAACCUCCUGUGAACAAGAUACACAAGAUUUCAUAGUUCUUAAAUAAUUUUGAGUAAGUUCUUUGUCUUUCUUUUGUAUAGUGGUUUAUUUGCUACACGUGUUGUAACAUGGCAUAACAAUCAAGCACUACCCUUCAGCAAGCCCUACCACUGUUGCUAAAAUCUGGGUUAAAGUAGGCCCCUGCAUGAUAAACAUACAAAGAGUUCAAAACAAACCUCUUGCGAACAAGAUAAACAAGAUUUCAUAGUUCUUAAAUAAUUUUGAGUAAGUUCUUUGUCUAUCUUUUGUGUUAGGUCCCUGCAUGAUAAACAUACAAAGAGUUCAAAACAAACCUCUUGCAAACAAGAUAAACAAGAUUUCAUAGUUCUUAAAUAAUUUUGAGUAAGUUCUUUGUCUUUCUUUUGUGUUGAGUCUGUUGACACAGGACCAAUUUGUUUCACCUGCAAAUCAGACCCAGCCACUUCCUGUGCACCACUUCACAUCAUACAGGCAGUUUCGUAUGUGCUAAACCACAUAAGCACGUACAAAUAACAACAAACUGUCAUGAAUUUAUGAACCCCGAAGUUUGCCUCCAAUCUUUGAAGCAUGUCAUGAGUUAUAUCAAGCACACCUUUUGUCUGAACCAACGACUUUCUUAGAUAAAAGAACAGCUUAAAGCAUUAACCUAAAAUCAAAUAUUAACAACAAAUAUGUUUAAAAGCUCCUCUCCAUGUAUUUCUACAGUUUUAUUGAGUUGUGAACCUUUCGUCAUGUAUACGAUAAACUAACUUCCAAAGUAACCCCACCUUCAAUUUCAUUAAUUUUUCCUUCUCUCAAAGUGGUUCCCCUGCUCACGAGAUCAACUAUAGCCUCUGCUACCCCAUGCAAGUUGGAAAGAAAAGCAAGCAAAAGCAACAUGAUGAAACAACAGGAGCUGAAAUGUAAAGAGCCGUUAUAGUAUCAUAAUCUUCUAAUCAAGAUACAAAAUCACAUUGUUUGGAGCUAAAAAAUUGCAACCAUGAAGCAGAGGAGUAAAGAUUUUAUCAGGCAUAACAAAUAAAAAUUUCUUCAAAUCGUGAAAACUAGAAGAAUAGAUUGGAUAAGAAUCCAAAGUAGAGCACAUAUCCUAACUAAAUCUACCAAGAAUUAGAAUAACUUUGGAAAAGUGAAAAUUUACGACACAAAGAACCGAACUUUACCUGGCAACAACUUCUUUGACGAUAUAAGGACUUCAAAUGCUCCCUACAAUAGAUUGCAAAAACAACUUUGAUCAAAGAAAAUAUAAGCAAUGACAAUUAAUCAUUUACAAGAAAGUGAAAAUAGAAACAAGUAAAAGAAAAGCACCAAAAGAAAGAACACAUGUCUACAAUAAGUAACGGGAAAAAAACUCUCCAGAGCACAAUAAUAAGUGUUGAUACUAACAAAAUUAAAUAUUCGGCUAUUCAUGUUGACAACACAAAUACAAAGAUUAAAAAAAAAAAGGGAAAAAGAAGCCUUACCUGAAGAAAUUACAGAGAACCAAAGUGGAAGAAAAAAUCUGGAGAGAAUCAGCGGCAAACACAUAGUAAGAAAAUCAGAUAAGUUAACUAAAAGCAUACUAAAAGCAUCAGAGUUAAUGAUCAAAACUUUUACACAUUAAAGAUGAACAAAAAAAAAAAAGGAAAAAAAUGAGAAGAAGAGAGGUUAAGGAAGAUGUUUUGGUUUGAGAGGAUUUCAAUGAGAGAGAAAGUACCAAGAAUAAUUGCAAUGACUUUGAUAUUUUCGAUUCUUUGAAGCGACGAUGAACGGAAAGUGAAAUUCGACAAGAGCGCCGGAAACCUGUGGAGUGUGGACUCUACUACUAGUACUGAGGGGGGCGCUCGGAGACGUCAAGGAAGUGGAAAGAGGCGCGUGAAAACUGAACAGUCACUAGUGCUGAAAACCUAAUCCCAUAAUGCAAGGAUUUGAAGGGCAGUGUUGUAAAAACGUCAAAGAAGUGGAAAGAUGCGCGUGAACAUUGAGUUAAAUGAGGUUCGCACUUGGAUUCUUCCAGACGGCUCUGGCUUUCUUUAUCUAUCCUUCCUUCUCUCUUCAUUUCCUAUGUAACCACUCACCAUCUCUGGCCUCACCCUUGAAUGAUUUGUUCUUGUGUACGAUACUAUUCUCUUCCUUUUUUGGCCUCACCCCUGAACGUUGCUUUAUCAACUCAGCAUUUGUUUAUCAAUUCAAGUAGUAGUAGUGAGCUGAAGAAUCAUAUUGUUGACUGAUGUACUCUCAAUUUAUUAUCAGUUGCCUAUAUUUUGCACAGAAUAACAUCGAAAUUGUUGACGAAGUAGUGCCAAACGGAAUCAGUUCAACAGGAUUGAGGAAUCAGUACAGCUUAUUAUGAUAUCAAAGAAAAGAGAUAACUUGUUGACUCUCUUUCAGGGAUUGCAUUUCGAGGGGCUUGUCUGUGAAAUAUUUAACUGCUGAUGACCUGUAUGUACAUCAUGCAGAAUGCAGAAGUCUGAUGAUUGAUGCCUCUACUCUUCAAGUACUCUCCUAUUUGAAGGCCCGCUGUACAGUACGAAUGGAAGUUUAUUUGCUAGAAAAGGCAUAUGGCUGAUGUUCCAUGGCAAUUAGUUUGACUCGGGGGAAUUUUCUUAGGCGACUAGCCUUUGGCGGACUGCGGAAGUUACCUUCUGCCUUUAAGCAGGGUGGAGAGACUGUCUCGUGUAAUUCAAUUUUUGCCACAGAAGGUUGGUAUAUAUAAUAGUCUCCAUAGGGUGUCAAAUGUCUCUUCAUUUUUCCUUUUACAUAUGGCUGAGAAUUUUAGAAAGAGCUCAAAAGUGAUCUCUCUCUUAUUAGCAAUAUCGAAACUGUAGUCGUAGCUUAAAUGAACUUCAGCAAGUUCACAAAAUCGUUCGUAGACUGCCAUUUCCUGAAGAAAAAAUAUACACCAUGUUGUACUUUAAGACCUCCAUCCCCAUUUGCAAUUCCUCUCAGCUCUCGAGUAUUGUCGCCUGCAUUUGAUAAAAUCUGCAGUUUUUCAUAAUUUUCUUCAAUUUCACUGAAUAAUCCUCUUGUUAAGAUGAAAAUCUUUUCUGCUCCUGUGGGAUGUUAUCCAUUGAUUGCCACGAGAGCUGAGUGUGAUGCUAACCUAGUAGGACUUUACCCCCAUGAAGCAGCUGUUCCACCUAACUUGCAGAAGGUAGCAACAGGUGAAUCCUGGAUCAACAACUAACUGCAAUCUCUGAGUUUGAUUGCUGGUCCUCGGCACCAGUAAGCAGAGGGCUCUUUUGGAACUGAUUUCUCAGCUGUCCACAUGCAGCACUAGCAUCAAGACCUCGAGUCUGCCGGACACUGACGGUUAUUUUACGGGACUCCAGAGCGGCUGCAAAUGCAAGAGUCUGCAUAACCAAAUUUAUUAUACCUAUCAGUUGACCCCGCUCUUGCUAGAAAAAAAUAGUUUAGAACUAAAUUGGGAAAGCUAAAGGGUCCAAAAUGAACAUCCAAAGAAGAAGGGAGAUAAAACGCGUACUGAUUUUUUAUAUGGACGCUGGUAAUCAGAUCCUUCAACUGGAUUAAACGGUAUCAGGUUGACAUGGUAACUACGACCCCAUUCAUGAAGCAGUUCUGCUAACUCUAACGCAUGCUCAAUGGUGUCAUUGACUCCAGCUUCACAAGAACAAAUAAAAGCCAAAACUAUUGUUACUUCCUCUCUGCAUGCCUAUCAAACAAUUGAAGUCAUGAAAACCUUUUACUCGCAGAAGUCUGGAAUACCUAAAAGUGUGUAUUCGAAAGACACCCGUCGACUGGUUUCAAGGAAAUAGUCCCUGCAAUCCUUCAUGAUUGCUUCCAAAGGAUAGGACUUUGCACUUGGUACUAUACUUUCGCGGAGUUUCUGGUUUGGAGCAUGUAAGCUGGACAAAAUGUGAAGGAAAUGACACAUCACGAAUCAGAGUUGAAGUAAGCUUAGCUAAGGAAAAGAUGUUCUAGGCUUUCACAGCUUAACAACUAGUUUUUAAGGAUGGUCAGCAAUGAUAUCUGGAAAAAUCAUCGGCAAAUUAUGAUAUUAACUGAGUUUUAUGGUAACUACGAGAACCUCCACUAAGUUCUUAAAUCACACUAACCACCCUGAUAAUUCCCGACAUUCAUCAGACAAAGAUUGAAGAGGAAGUUAGUGAAAUAUUAGACCCGUGCCCGCGAUAAUGAUGGAAACCAGGGGAGAUUAAGGUAAAUUAGCAAAAGUUCAGACCAUUUGAGUUCGUGCCUAAGCUUGGCAAUCACCAGAAUUAUUAACUCCACCAGGAAUAAUGCCCAUAAUUCCUGUACCUAUGAAUUCAAACAAACUGGUGCAAUCUGAUGUUGUCAGGUUUCUACUGUAGCUCAAGGAAGCAAAAUAUACUUCCUUAUACCUAAGCAUGAUGACCAGUGAAUUGAACAGCAUAAAGAGCAACAUCUUCUAACUUCGUUGGACUUAUCUAGAAGUUAUGUCAAACUGCUUUUAAGAGAAGCAGAAAGAAAGGGCUUCCACCCUUUUUUUUCCCCUUUCCUUGUAACAGAAUAGAACAGCCAUCAGGGACGUGUUGAACAGUGAUAUAACAGUUCAAUGCCUGAAGGUCUAUUGUGCAAACACACAAGGAAACAUUUCUAUCCCUUUUCAGUCCAGAAAGCAGAAUAUGCAAUGACAUUACCUAAUAGCCAACGUCGAUUGAAGCUUGUGAGAAGCCAGCUUUUUUAUUGUAUUUGGAACUCCAACAGUUGAUAUUGUGAUCAUCCUCUGCCCAAUUUGGAUAUCCUGAACAAAGGAUGGCAUGUGAACAAUCUUUACAUCCACAUAAAAAAAAACUAGCUACACAGUUUAAUACACCACCUAUGUUAGAUUUUGGAGCAAUUUGAAUUUUCAGAGUGGAGAGGCAUAGAGGACCUUAUUCAGGCAACGGUGUGCUUCAAGAACUUCUUUAAGGUUCAACAUCGGCUCACCCAUUCCCAUAAACACGACAUUUGUAACCCUGUGCUUGAAAACAUCUUCUAUUGCCAACACCUGCACAUUUAUGAUCAUGGGACUACUUAAAUGCAGCACGUACAGAGUGCUUCCAGAGACCAUAACAGGAUCCACAACUAAAUAAAAUGACAAAAGUUUAGCAUCAGUAGUUCAGAAGUGUAUAAACUUAUGUUCACAAACAAACAGCAGGCAUGUAAACAAAGGAAACUCACUGGACUUUUUGGGGAAAGAAGGGUACAACGAGAAUCCUAAGGACGAUUAACUAAGGGAAUAAGGGACGCAGCAGUGGAUAAAUAGCCUAGGUUGAUUUAAUAAGAAAAAGAUGCCAUGAGUCCUGAGGAUGGAGGUAACGAGGCAGGGAAAUUUUUCUCACAGCACCUCCAAGUGAAAGAGAGCCCAUCUGUCACCUGAUGUAAAUUUCAAAAAUAGCAUCAAACAGAUGUAAGACAUACCUGCUCUACAAUUUCAUGCCUCUUAAGGUUUCUUGCAAAUCCCCCCUUGCCAGUGGCACAAAAGGAACAGCGCAAUGGACAGCCUACCUAAUUGACACAGGGAGAAGAUUAACAAUGGAAUCAACAGGGACUAUGUACUCAAUGUUAAAAUAGAUAUCCCAAAAAUGGAUAUAUAAACCACCACAUUUAAACGUUUUUGCAGUAGAAAAUAACCUGGGAUGAGACACAUGCAGUCAACCUGACUGAACCUUUAUCAUCUUCCACUGGUAUCCCAACAGUUUCAACCAAUCGGUUGUCCUCCAAUUUUAUCAGUAACUGGGAAGAUGAAAUAAUAAAAAGUCACAAGAUAUAAUGAGACAGUAGACAUAUAAAGUCACAAGAUAUCACAAGACAUAAUCAAAAAGUAGGCAUAUAAAGACAGCCAAAUCUAUCACUUUGGAAAGAAUUGAGAUGGACUAAAUCUGGAUAUGCGCAUGUUCUUGCUUCAUGUUUAUACAUAUAAUGAGCAACAGAGAGUCAUGGCGAAGGCAACUUAUGCAUGACAUUAUUAUGCACUCCUGUAGUCUUAGGACAUGACAUUUUUAUGCAUGAGACAACCAUGAUGUUUAUCACCAAACUUAGCACUAUGAAUACUGGAAACCCAAGUUCUAUGCAAAGCAAGUUCCUGAAUCAUGUAAUCUUAGUGCCAAUUCUAGCGAGUCUAAAAACAAUUAAAAAUAUUCCUUGAUUGCUUCUUUUGCCAACGGGAUUCACAAAUGCCGAGAGCCUGAGACCCAGAGAUCUCUAGGUCAUCUGAGAGAAGGCACAAGCUCUGAGACAUAAUUAAACUUUUGAUGGCAAUUUCAGUGAACCUUACUCGUUUUCUCCAUAUUGAUACUACCCUACAGCGAUCCCAAUUACAAACUGUGAUUCAAAUUUCACCCGACGCAAACUUACAAACCAAAAUAGAAUCUAGACAAUAAGUGCUCCCACAUCCCAAAAAAGCUUCCUGCCAAAUUUCCUUGAGAAAAGAAAUAACUUGCCUCACUUUACGGCUCCAGACUUUCUAUUGUAAAAGGAAAUCAUUCAAAUCAUUCUUCAAUUUUAAUUCGCCAACUCUCCAAAGCUUCAGGUUUCAGGUGAAUUAACUAGUUCUUGUAGAAGUCUAGUGUCCUCAAUGAAUACAUGUUUGUUACCAAAUAAGAAAUAAUCUUCUCUUUGGUUUCCUCCUCUUUAUCUAACACAAUCCUCCAUGGAUGCUCAAUGCUGACAUACAUAUACAUAUAUACAUAUAUCUAUAUAUAUACGUAUAUGUAUAUGUAUAUGUCCAUUCAAACUAGAAUCUUGUUUAGAUAUAUAUUAUUAGCUCAACCACCACCAAGAGCCGAGCCAGUUUUGUCAAGAAACUACCUUAAUGGUGCCAUCAGAUGCCGUAACAUUCUUAUAUACUGGUGACCUCCCAACUCUCCAUCCUGCUUCCUGCAACUCAUUCCUGAAUGCCAAUGGCACUUUUCAUCCAAAAAAUUACCCCAAAAAAAUUACCAAUUAAAGUUGAAUAAAAUUAGGCAAGAUUUGGAAAAAAAAAUUACUCACCUUGACUAAAGUCUUGAAUUUCUUUAACUUUUCUUUUAUACAGUAAAUGGUGCAAUUGUUUACCUCUGUAGCGUUCCUAAAAUGACAAGUACUUGCUAGUUACAACAAGAAUUUCAUAUUUCCAGAAAAGCAACUGAAGAUGGAAAAUUGAUUGGUCCAUUUAUGCUUUUAGGCUAAACCCACUAAAACUAUACCUGACCGAAAUCGACGGCAAGUUGUUGAAGCUCUUGCUCAGACAUGCCGAGGAGAACCUGCGACUGCAAGUCCACUUUUGAUGAUGCCUCGGCCUUCUUCUUGAGAGAAGGUAAAGUUACGGUGCUACAGGCGACAGUCAGGGUACGGAACCUUACGGCGCGUGCAAAGGGUGCUGUGACCACGUGCUGAAAUAUCGCCAUUGACAUGCUUCGAGAGACUGGAUGAAUGGAUCGAGAGACUCUGCGAGGGAGGAACACCAGGGCCGAGAUGACACACUAUAAACCCAGGCUAUGCCUUAAGCCUCACAUUCUGGAUUUAUUAAAGACCAAAAAGAAAUAAAGACUCAUCGGUUUUUUUAAAAAGACAAAAAUAGCCCUGUUUGACUAUCCGUUGAAUUUUGAAGACUUUUAUUUUGAAUUUUUUUUUAGGUUAUUUCUCUAUUUCCUUUUUAUUUAUUUAUUUUUCCCUUCUGGCAUCUCCCCAUUUAUAUUUAAAGAAUAACAUGGAGUUUAACAGUACGGAAGAUUUAUACUCAAAAUGUUCCCCCUCGCAAAAUAAUAAGUUUUGUGGCUUCGUGUAGGCUAUAUGAAAGGUAGUACAGUAGCAGCUGCCAGGAUUCUUCUUCCGUUGCUUGGCUUUCUAGUAUUUACCCUCAAAAGUUCUGCACCAAGAAUCCUACAAAUACAUCCUAAAAGCUCAGGCAGAUUAAAAUAAAAAUCCUGAACGUCAGGAAGAUGAAUCUUUUAAUGAUGUCCAUGGCUGUACACCCAACUUCUUAUGCUAAUCUACCACAAAAAUGAAAAAUUUGCAUGAGAUAAAAGUAGUAUGCAUCGUACAACAUAUGGGAUAACAAGGCUAUAAAUAUGAUAUAAACAUGGGAAUCAUUUCCCAUUGGCUCAUGCCUAGAUACAACAAAAUCUAUUUAGCAUCCUGCCGAGAUAAGAUUGAUGCAGAGUCACAGGACAGAUUGAGAUGGGAACCGUACAAUGCAAGAGGAUGGGAUGGGACAGCACAAGGCCGAUUCCAUGGAGGCCUGGCUUCCUUGCAUCGUCUGCUCUUCGUAUCUCUCGCUUAGAGUAGUUGGUAAAAAUUGAAAAUUUUACAAACAAAAUCCACAUUCAAGCAACCAUGGGGGAAGGGGAUCGUCUUGGACAUGAUGCAGCCUUUCUGUUAGAUGCGUCGUUUGAACAUGUUUUAUGAUGCUUGCGAACCACCUCAUGUUUAACACUGCCACUGUCCGAGUCCUGAAGCUGCUCUAAUGCUUUUACCACCUCAUCCAUGUUUGGCCUGUACUUGGGUUCCGUUGCAAGGCAUUUAACUGCAAGGUUUGCAGCUUUUAUAGCUCCACCUAACGAAUAUUGCCCUUCUAUUCUGGCAUCUAUAACUUGGAAAAUUCUGCGUUUGCUGGCCAGGUAAGGCUUGGCCCAUUCGAUAAGAUUGUGCUCUCCAGGAGGCCGGUUCUUAUCUAUCACUCUACGGCCCGUCAGCAUUUCGAGGAGAACAACCCCAAAACUAUACACGUCACUCUUGGCAGUCAGAUGGCCUUCAGAAACAGACAAAUGCAGGCUUAGCACAAAGAUAGAAGAAUGAUUUACAGCUUAUAAAAGCUGCAUGUCGAUUUAGCAAGGAUUUGAUGUGUGUACAUUUGACAGUCUGAAAAACGUUGACAAUCGACGUUCCUAACUAGGCGCAAUGGCACGAGUAAAUAGAAAACUGAGAGAGAACUGGAAGAAGGGAGAUGAUAAUGUUGCAGUAGCAGGAGAAGAAUGAAGCUUGGGACUUUUCAGCAAGACUAGGAUACAAAAAGGACUUAUUAUUUAAAGGAAAUAUUAGGCGAUUCCACACACAGACCAGAGCUUUUCACAAGACUUGAUGCUUUGAUUCACAAACAUCCUGCACUCAUCUCAAAAUGGUGAAUCCAUCACAAAUAUGUGAUAACGAAGCCUGAACAAAUCCCAAGACAAUAAGAAAUGCUAUACAAUUUCAUCACUGGAGAUGUUUCAAGGCAAAGCCACCCAAGGGAAACUACAUUUGGACUUGGAAUAGUAAUAGAGUUGACCUCACCUCCACCAAGGGAUGCAAACUACAGGACAAAAUAAGGGACCAUUUCUUAGUUAAGGGGUUCUAUUCUUAAUAGUAGAAGAGGAGGGGGUGAUGGAACAAGAAGCAUUCCAGUCACUUUAAGUUUAACUUGGCCUGAGUAAGAAAUCGCAACAAUCAGAAACGUGCAACCUUACUAAGCUGAACAGUAUACAACAUCGGACACCAAAGAAACAAUAUAAUAAGAAAAGCAGGCAGCAGAAUCCUGAGAAGCUUCCAAUAUUAUGAGCACUUUAACAAGAUGUAAUACCUGUGACCAUGUACUCUGGAGCAGCAUAACCAUAGGUCCCCAUGACUCGUGUAGACACAUGGCUUUUACCAUCCAUUGGCCCAUCCUUUGCGAGCCCAAAAUCAGAGAGUUUUGCAUUAUAAUUCUGUCAGGAUUCAGUUCAUCAACAAGAUGCAUAAGUGACAGUGAGACACAAGUAAAGCAGAAAUCCAAAGAGUAAGACAUUCAACAAUUGGAAACUUGAGUUACAUACAUACCGAAUCAAGCAAGAUAUUUGAGGACUUAAAAUCACGGUAUAUAACUUUGGCUUCUGGGCUGUGAAGAUAUGCUAGCCCCUUUGCAGCGCCAUAAGCAACCUUCAUUCGGAGGUUCCAAGAUGGUGGUUGGAAGUAAGAGCUCCCUGUUGAAAAUAUACACAAGACAUUAUGUCAUUGUGAUAAUUGGAAGUGCAUUGUGUUGGAAGAUGGUAGACUUGCUACAGAGUUCAAGAACUCACUCCUGAAAAGAUGAUUUUCCAAGCUCCCCCUGGGCAUGAAUUCGUAAACCAAAAGUCUCUGUUCAUCUUCUAAGCAGUAUCCAACCAAUUUCACAAGAUUAGGAUGAUGUAGCUGUCCAAGAUAAUUGAUUUCUGUCUGUGAUUCAGGUGAAGAAACAAAAUUAUCAGCAUAGCUAAGAGAUUUCAGAAUAUGACAAUUACAAGUUUUGACCACGUGUGAUAUAUGUCAGUACUUUUUGCAUUAUUUAAUAACACUGGUAUGAAUUCUGUAAAUAACAGGUGAAGUCAUAUACUCACCAACCAUUCCUUGUGGCCCUGUAGACCUUCUUGGUUCAGUCUCUUCACAGCAAUAACCAAUCCAGUUCCUGGCUUAGCAGCCUUACAGCUAUGCUGAUCAACCCACCCCUUAAAAACACAACCAAAUCCGCCUUCUCCCAACACGCUAUCUGGGCGGAAGUUCCUAGUGGCUGUUUUUAGAUCAUUAAACCCAAAACUCCUCAGAUUUGAUGAUUCCAAAAUUUCACUCUCACUGCGAGGGGUCUGUGGUACUGAGGCAGAUGAGAGCCUGCUGCUUGAGUCUCUUCCAUCACUGCUGACAUAUCUUGAGUUUGCUCCUGCAAACAAAUUAAGUUAAUUUAUUGGGCUUCAACUGAACAUCCUACAACCUAAUUUCCUUUACAUCAAGAGCGUCUAAUCCUCGAAGGAAAAAAAAAGGAUGGAACAGCAUUAAAAAUGCAUGUCUAGGUGAUUUGCUUUUUGUUGAAGCAAAAGGCCUGAUAUUGCUUUGCAUAUGAUUCCUGUUAACAUUCAUAAAACAAUUGAAGAUUUCUAUGUAUGCUCAGAAACAUUAAUUAAGUGCCCUUUAAUUUCAGGUCAUUACUCUUGUAGUCUAGCCACUUCUUUCAUCUGGUUUGGUUUAUUCGUGAUGAGCCAAAGGUGUUGACUGAGCAGCCUUAUAUCAUCUUCAUACUUCAAAGCCAUGAUUCAGACCGGUGAUUUGUAAAGACAACUAUGGAAGGUCCGAGACGAUCCAAUUUGGUCUAUCAGAUUUUGAUUUUAGUAGCAGAACGACCACAAUAUCAUAAGUUGCAAAUGAAUUGUUGAGAUAUCAAACUAGCUAUCACCCAUAUCACCGGUUUCCAUGUAAAGUUUUCCAGACAAAGAGAACAUGACAUUCUAGAACGUUUAUCUCUUUUUCUUUGCAAAGGAACGGAACCAAAGGGGUCUAUCCAAAAAGAGAACUAUUGAUCAAAUACAGUAUAGCAAUCCUACUUGGAGGACCUAUGAAACUAGUAUGCAUAGAUUAUAUUCCAACCUGUGCCAAAGCAAGCAGCAUAUGUUUGCUAAAGAAGGCCAAGCAACAAGGUGGAACAACUAAUUAAAAUUUCCGGAAAACAUUUCCAAAAAUUGAGUCUUGAAAUAACAAAUGAGAACAGUUGCAUGUAUUGAAUUACCAGCAUGCAGAGGACUCUCGGCCUUAAUCCGAGCACUGAAGCAAGAGCCCAUAAAUUAUUAACAACAACCUUUCCAAAACUCUGAUCCUUCUUGCGAACCUUUUCUUCUUCUCCCAGAAAAAUUUGCAGAAAGUUCUGCGCUGAUGAAUCUUCAAAAAUCCCUUUAUGGGCGUGACCGCAGAAAACUGAAAAUGAAAUUCAUCAGACAAAAAGGUGUGAACAUGCUCAAAAGAUUUUUCCUACUAUCAAUGAAGGCAGAUGAAGAAUCCUGUUGAAUAUUUUACAUCUUUGUUCGGUUGGCUUCACGAGAAGCUAUUUCCAGACCUUCCCGAAGGCCAAAAUAGUUGACUUUUCGUACUACAAGUCCUUGGGUUAUCGUCAGCUACUACUCUGCAACUUGUACACGUACACACAUUAAAGAGAAGUGGACUCGACUACUCAACUCUGAUGAAGCGCGGUGGAAGACAGGACCGGCAGCAAAGUUUCACCUUUGGUCCUCUCUCUAUAAAUGUUCUCAAUUUAAUUCCACUCAAGUUUCACCUUUCGCAUUGCUCGGCUACAAAGCAACCACCGAUGCAAACUAAUAGCAUGGGUGCCUAAGCACGUCAAUUACAAAUGUUAAAAUUUCAAUAAGAUUUAACUUUGAAUCAAUUCAUAUCGAAUUAAGUAAAUCAUCAAUUCAUCUAAGGUAACAAAUUCGUUCACGUAUCUCACCCGUAAUAUUUUGUACCCUAUCCCGUUUUAUUUUAUUUAUUUUUAGUAGAAGAUGGAUAAGAAUUAAGGAAAUUUAAAUCCAAAACAUUUAAUUCUUGAAAUCUCAACCCUAAUCACACUUCAACCAUCCUCUUAAAUUUGUUCUAGCCCCUUAGCUCUUAACUAAAUGCUGGUUAAAUACAAUUGAGAUUGUUUCCAAUAACGAGUAAUAGCACCAAAAGGGUUCAAAUCUCUGUUUUCAAACUCGGACCGGACCGGCCGAUCGAACCAAUCGAACCGGGAACCGGCCAGGUAGCCAGUCCGAGUCAACUUAGAAAACCGGAAAUUUUAAAACUCGGUCAAAGCCGGUCAAAAUCCGGGUUUGACCGGGUUUGACCGGGAAAAAACCGGUUUUUCCGGUUCAACAGUGAUUUUUAAAAAAAAAAAUCAAACUUUAUAAUAUUAUGUUUUGGCCCCCUAAAUUGUUAAAACUUAUUCGUAUACCUCAAAUAUUUGAUACUUUAUAAAUAUUGUCCUACAAUUUGAUGUUAUUUUUCAAUUAAAUUCAUAAUUUUAAUUCUAAACUUGUUAAUAUUUAUUAAAUAAUAUAAAUUGCUACUUGAUUAUUCUAAUUUCUUUGUAUUUUCUUGUUAAAUAUAUUUGAAACAUCAAAUAUAUAUGAAUAUACCUUUAUUAAUAUCAAUAUAUUAUUAGAUAUGAUAUAUAUAAUAUUUUAAUUUUUAAAUAAUUUUUAUUUAUGACGUCAUCCGGUUCGACCCCUAUCGACCCCCGGUCGAACCCAUUGACCCCUGACCCCUGACCUUGGCCGAGUCGCUAUCCGGUCCGAUUCUGAAAACAUAGGUUCAAAUGGGUGAAGUUAUUGACCAAUUUUGGACGGGGUGAUCAAAGAUUAAAGCUUAAACAUAUGAGACUAAGACGAAACUGCCUGAAAAUUCAGGGGACUAAAACUGCAAAGCUUAAUUCAGGACACCAGCUUUUUGUGCCUUUCGGUGUCUAUCUCUUAAUUGAACGCUGAUGGUCAGGCGGUUGGAUUCUUUUAGUCUCUCGCACAAUUAAUAGGACAAAUGUGCAUUAAUUCAAAGAGCACCAGCCGUUGGAUCAGCAUAACAGUCAGUGGUGGAUGACACUGCAGUCGUGCUGUUCUGAUUCAUUUUUGCGUAUUAAGGGUUGAUUGGUAAAAGAUUAGCUUAAUUACAAGUACGUAAUUUAUUAUGGGAGUGGAUUUUAUGCGGUAUCCUUUCCUACCGCCGGCCUCGAAAUUGGCUGCGCCAAGUUUAUUGAACACUAAUCUGAUGGUAUGUCUUUUAAUCCAAAUAUUUGAAAAGUUUUUAAAGCUGCUGGAAUAAUCAACAUUUAUUAUUACUCCCUCCCUUUUUUUAUAACUGACGUUUAAGAAAUUUGCUCUAAUGUACUUUUAUCUGUCAUUUUAUUAUCUCAUACAGUAUUAAUUAUUUUUUCACAAUUUUACCCUUUUAUCUCUCUUUUUCAAUACAGGGUUCUUAAUUACUACUCUUAGUAAUUAUUGCUUUGACCUAGUAAAACAGCAUCAUUUAGUAUUCUAGUGAGAGAAAAUAUGGGUGAAUUGGACAAUUAAUGAGGGUACAAAAGGAAAAUAGUGUAAAGAUUUAAGCAAUAAAAAAUUUUUCUUAAUUGGUGUGCAAAAUCUUGAACGUCAGUUAUAAAAAAAAAAGGAGGGAGUAUUAACGCAUAAAGCGGGGGUGGCUUUUGUCCGUUUGCGCCUUGGGUUUUAUUUAGUGGAAAGGGCAGCCGAUGGAUGAUGCGCAGAUAACGUAAGAGCUUGCUAAGAAUGCCGAAUUGCUCAUGCGAACGGAUCAAGAGUCGAGAUAAACACCACCAUGUUGCUCUGUGUUAGUGUGCCUACACUUCUAGUUACCGUGGCUUAGAUUCUUUGGAGCCAUCAUCAUGGCCUCUUUUUUUUUUUUUUUUUUUUUUAAAAAAACCCAUUCUAUUCAUUAAAUUAGCAUUAAAUUAGUGCAAAUUAAUUUAGCCAAUUUAUGCUUGAAAUGACACUUACGAAUUAAGACGGCCCAGAUUCAAAAUUCGUAUCCUAAAUCUAACGAUGAUGAUGUGAUAAAAGAAUUCUAAAAAGAUUUAUGACUAUCGAACCAGACGAACAUAAUGACGAGAAUAAUAAUAAUAAUGGCUGUUAUUUGACAGUUUUUAUUAUUAUUAUUAUUAUCACCAUCACCAUCACCAUCAUCAUCAUCGUCUUCUUAAUCAGUUCACUCCGCCUCUUGAAUGUUGGAACCGCCACGUGUUUUCUUUUUUUUUUUUUUUUGUAGAGCACGCCACGGAGUAUUUGUUCUGGAGCACGACGAAGUGCAUCGUAGGGGACCAAUUUUGUACUCCAAAGGGAGAAAAAAAUGUCCAUCGCGGUGCUCCAAUUUGGAAUUCACACCAUUGAAAGCAAAAGUUUCCGGAUUUGAGCCACUUGGAGUCCCUUUAUGGACCAUCUGAUUGUAAUGGUUGGCAUUCCUGCACUUACUAGCAGUUUAUUUCAGUCGUUAUUUCUGUCGACCAAUCUUUUAGAGAAAAUGACCCAAAAAUUUUAGUUGCAACCCAAUUAACUCAAAAGAGCAGAUGCAGAUCAGAUCUUUUAAAUGAUGGCACAAGUCAAAGCAAUCCGCAUCCAUUGCGGUAAUUAUUUUAGUUUAUUGGAUGCGGGCACAUGGGUUGGGAAGAAAGGAAACAGAAAACACAAAGUGCCAACCCAUCCGAGAGGGGGGGAAAAAAAAAAGAAAGAUAUACAGAAUAAAUAAAUGGACAGGAAGAUCCAAAUUCGGAGUACCUGACUGGAAGGACAGUUGAAAAAUAAGAAGAUUACAUGGUACAUACAUAUCUUUAAUUAGUAACUGGUCGUCACCGGAUUCUUGUACAAAUCAAUAGAAAACAAAAUGAAACACCUCUACCUUCGGUUUCACUUGACUCUCUCGAUACUGAAAUUCAACUGUUGACUUUGUCUUUCCACAGCCUGGCAACAAUUAUACACUGGUGACAAAGCUUCCACACCAUACAUUAAGGCCACUGACGCUGACAAAAGAUUUACAUCCUGCCCAAGACAAAAGACAGAGCGCAUUCACAUCCUGCUUGGUCUGAUUUAGCUGCAGCAACUGCGUGCGACCUCCAGAGUAGCUCCUAACCUUGUAAAUCUGUUGAUCCUUCCAUAUCUCGUAGAAAAUUUUUACUUUUUUUUUCAUAUUUUUCAAACACUUUUUUAUUUUAUAUAUAUUAAAUUAUUAUAAUAUUUUUUUUUUAACAAAAAUUCUUGAAUAUAACAACAAUUCAGGCGACUCCUGAAAAUCUUUUGUUCGGUUUUAUGAAUCACUUUAAAUAUAAUGUAAACCUCAAAUAAUUUUUUGUGAACAUCAUGUAAUCAUGAUGCUUAACCUUCAGGAACAAUUGUUACUUGCGACAAAUCAUGAUGCUACCCUAAUUCGAAAAAAAGAUGACUCGAAGAAGAAAGUCAACAUCGGCAUCUCUGGUGAGCUAAGCAGCCAUGCAUCAUAAUUCAUAAGCAUAAUGUUAACCUAAAAUAAAGAUGACAAGGUACGUCAGAAUUGUUAUUAAAAUGGAUAUGCAGAUUGAAUGUCGACCUUGAGAGAGCGGUCGACUGGGCUCGAGACUAUUGAAUAAUUGCCGUUCCUACGCAUCUUACGUGUUUGUCUCGCCCAACUUUAAUAUUUCUAAAUGUACUUAAAUCCGUUGUAGCUUGCAUUUCCUUUUUUUCUUUUUAUUUUUUUCCUGGAUUGGACUAACCACUUUUAUGGAAUUUUGCAAGCAGGCAACCAGAAAACAGAUUACACCUUUCACUGAAAGCAGCGCCGUUAUUGCUACUAAGGACGUUAUUCCGGGGGGCCUUUUUGGUCAGGGAUGGCAACGGAGCGGGAUUUGAGCGGGAGAGGGACGCCUCGCUUCCCCCGACUGUAGGGGAGCUAAUAAAAAGUUGUCAUAUAAUUUUUUAUAGUCAAAUUUUAACAAACAAUCAAGUACUAAAAUAUCAACACAUCACCAAAUUAUCAUCCUAUUGUAUUUUUAUAAUUGAAACUCAUAAAAACAAUCAAAUAAGAGUUGUUUGAAUACAACCUAAUAUCAUCAAAUAAAUAUAACUAAAGUGAUCAAUUUUUCACUUCUGACACAAAUAUAAUUAUUAAAUCAUUAUUGUGUUUUUUUCUGAGGAAAAAAGUGUUAUUGUGUUAUGUGUAAUUAGAAAUUUAGUAUAAAUGUAUUAGUUAAUUUAAUAUAACUAAUUAAUAAUUUCUAUUAGUAGACAUAUAUAAUUAUUAGUAUAAUUGAUAAUAUCAAUUAAAUUACAUAUACUAAUAUCCAUUAUAUAAUACAUAUAAUUAAUAAUAUCAUUAUUAUAAAUUUAUAACUAAUUAAAUUAAAUAUUAUAUAUAAUUAUAUACAUACAUAUAUUCAUUUAUUAUUUUUUGGAAAAAUCGCCCAAAACGUCCUUCACAUUUUGUAAAAUGACUUUUUUCGUUCCUCACUUUUAAAAGUGUAAUUUUAUGUCCCUUACAUAUUCACAUCGGUCAAAUUUAGUCCCUAAUUAGGUUUUCCGAUCAUUUUUUGGCCGAAAUCCAUUACGUGCCUUGUACGUGAUCAUUUUUUAAGGGUAAAUUUGUCAAAUUAUAUUUUACAUAAUCUGAUCUAUAGUCCUCCAUAUUUUAUAAAACAAAUUUUUUCGUCCCUCAUAUUUUAUAAAAUGAUUUUUUUCAUCCCUCACAUUUCACAAAAUGAAUUUCUCCAUCCCUCACAUUUCAAAAAAUGAAUAUUUCCAUCCCCCACUAAUUAUAUAUGUAAGGGAAACUCUAAAAAAAAUGUGUGCGAAUACAUUUUGUUUAAACACAAGUAUAUGUCUAUUUGAUUUUGCUUAAUAAUCCGAAUAGCAUAAAUAUAUGUAUGUGUCUAUUUGAUUUCACUUAACAAUACGAAUACCAUAUAUUAUACGUGAUCAUUUGAUUUCAUCUGGUAUUAGCUAGUAAAUAAUCUUGCAUUCAUUGUCAAGUUGGUCAAUAAAGUUAUUUUCGAUCAAAAUACAAUAAGAAUAUGCAAAUUAAGGUUCUAUUGUAAAUAUUAGUCAUAAUCAUACAAAAUGAGAAGAUAGCCCACAAGUUGGCCAAUUACAUACAUGUGUUUAUACUAUUAUUAUUAAGCAAAAUCAAAUAGAUAUAUAUAUGUGUUUAAAAAAAUGUAUUUACACACAUAAUUAGUGAGAAAUGAAAAAUUCAUUUUGUGAAAUGUGAAGGAUGGAGAAAUUCAUUUUGUGAAAUGUAAGGGAUGAAAAAAAUCAUUUGAUAAAAAGUGAGGGACGAAAAAUUUUAUUUUAUAAAAUGUGGAGGACUAUAGAUGAGAUUAUGUAAAAUAUAAUUUGACAAAUUUACCCUUAAAAAAUAAUCAUGUGCCUUACACAUAAUGGAUUCCGGUCAAAAAAUGAUCGGAAACUUAGUUAGGGACUAAAUUUGUCCGAAGUGAAUAUGUAAGGAAUAUAAAAUUACACUUUUAAAAGUGAGGGACGAAAAAAGUUAUUUUACAAAUGUGAGGGACGUUUUGGACGAUUUUUCCUUAUUUUUUUAACGAAUCGUGAGACAGGUAUACCCUGCCCCCACCCCCCCUCCCCUGUCUAGGGAGGGUGGAAAUUCCUCUCCGUCCCAACUCCCGUCCCAUUAGCCCUCCGCGGAGUGGAUCCCGCCCAAUUGCCACUCCUAUUUGCGGUUGCGGGUGUGGGCACGUAAGAUUUGUUUAUUCGUAUGGUUCUUAAAAGGUCGAAUGGCACUUUGCCCUCUGAACCAAAACAGUACACAGUUUGCCUUCGUUCACACUGAUGAUCGUAGAGGCAGCCGUGAUCAGCGGGCCAAAAAUGAAAAAACUAACGAAAUGUGACUAAAUUGUCCACUUUUGCGUGUGCAAGUCCACAAAUAAAUAUCCUAAAAAACCUAUGCUCUUAGUCCUCCACAUAUUUUCUUCCUGUUUUUUGAUCCUUCAUUUUUUGUUUCUAGCGCUAGCAGCCUCACUUGCAUUCCGUCUCUUUUUUUUUUUAAUAUCGCUCGGCAAUCUCCUUUUAUUUUUUGCACGCUUCAGGCUCCAUCCCGCGAAGAUACCCAAAUGCACAUUUACUUUCGAAGUUGAAGCAUCCAAUAAGAUGCACAAUGGUGUCAUUUCCCACACUCGUAGUUGCAUCUUCAUAUUGCUGAGUUGUUUGAGUUAGUUACCCGAGGCAUUUUGCUAGAUGUUUUUAUUUUGAAAUUUUUGUAUUUCUUUUUUGUGCGCUUCCAUUAUUUAUCAACACUAACACCUUUAUACUUGUUUGGCUUUACAGCAACUCCAAUUUUAGCCGUUAGCUAGCUGUUUAGGGGGGAAAUCUGGAAGAAAAUUACUCGCAUGUUUCAAGACUCUUAAUUCGUCUGACACACAUGGGCGCGCUCCUGCGCCCCCCGCCGCCGCCGCCGGGGUGUAGUAAAGUGUAUACUCCCUCCGUCCCACUUUGAUAGUCCUGUUUCUUUUUUCACACAGUUUAAGAAAAAGUAGUUAACUUUGUUGGAAAAGUAAAUUUAGAUUGCUAUUUUCCUAAAAUACCCUCACAUUAAAUAGAGUACAACUUUAUGGGAACUUGAAUUGAUGGUUAAAAAAGAAUCAACUCUCAUUAAAUGGGGUAGGUUUAUAGCAACAAUAACUUAUAUUGAAUAAGGGUAUUUUAGGAAAAUGAAAAUACAACUACAUUCUUCAAUUGGAAAGUGGACUGCAAUUUGGGACAGACAAAAAAGGAAAACAGGACUAUCAAAGUGGGACGGAGAGAGUAUUAUUUUGGUUGGAGGGGGCAUAGUGGAAUUAACACCAUAGUUCAGGGAACAUUCAUCCUUCUUGAAAUGGUGGUGUCUGUCGAGUGAACAACUCGGCAGAAUUUCUCCCAAAAGAAACAGAGCCACAUGUUACGUUUCUAGUUUUCUGUUUCAUGGAUUAUACUGUUAGACUGCAUAGACAGGGGCAUUAGAAAAAUUAGUUUAAAUUUUGAUAGAAAUUGUGGGGAUUUUAAGAUUCGUAUGUUUGUUUUGCUUUUUGCUUGUGAAUGAUUUGAUGCUCUUAUCCUUGUUUUCCUAGCCUUUGAUUCGUAUCCCUUUCCACUGCCUGCUUCGUUUCCCAUGUACAAUUUAUUUUUCAUGCGUCGAAUGUGCAGCCAAAACACCAAGAUGCAAAUUCCAUUUUCUAUUAGCAGUUAGCCGGUUAGCCAAACCAUCAACCAAACUUAUUUCUUAAAAAGCCAACACUGCCGCAAGCAACUAGAAGUAAAUGCAUGCCCCAAUCCCACGUUCCUACUUCUUAAAUCCCAAGUACCUUCCUGCUUCUACAAUCCCACCUUCUCUUGCUGAAAAGAAAUUUAAAAAAAAAAAGAAGCAAAUAUAUGCACACACUAACAAUGUCAAGCUAAUUUUAUUCGUAAAUAGUCGGGGUGGUUAUGUUUGCUGAAAUAGGAUGAAGAGCUCAGCUUGGUUAUCAAAUUAAACGCUGUAAAAGUACGUGUAGCAAAAGUGAAAAAGCAUGAUUUACUCCAGGUACGAAAUCUCAAGUAGAAUAAACAAAACUUUCACCACCACUGAUCUCUGAUACAGAGCUUAAGCACUCUUCUUCACCUCUGCAGACUUGAUAAUGUCAAUGAACUCCGGCUAGCCACACAAAAAAGAGAAUCAGAAGACAGAAAAUACAUCUUCUGCUUUAUUUUUACAUAUUUAUCAUUUUAUUAUUCUACUUUCAAAUCUUGCUUCUUUGAGUAAUUGAGAACAUCAAGGUCAUAAACCGUCUAGGAGAAGAAGUGGAGCAAAAACUCUAAUGAGAUCAUUACCUUUAGAGAAGCUCCACCUACAAGAAAUCCAUCAACAUCAGGUUGUGCAGCUAAUUCCUUGCAGUUGGCACCAUUCACCGAACCUGCAGAGUCCAAAGCAUAAUUAUAGACAAUUUUGAACACAGUGCCUCACCAUUUAUUAAUCUCACAUAGUUGUAGUAUGGCCAUAUGACACCAGCAAAGAGGGCUAAAAUAUGUGGGACCCAAGUUUAAUGCCACCAAAACUAAAACCCCAAAAGAAAACGAACGACCAAAGUCUAUAUGUUUCCAGGCAACAAUAGCAGAAAGUGCAGCAGACUUCCCCCUGAUGGAAGGUAUGCAUACACAAGGUUCUUAUCACCAUAAAGGUGUUAUAAAACAUCUGAUUAUGACAUUGAAAUGGAGCUUCCUUUCCAUGUACAACUAUGCUCACCCUUCGGUUAUAAUCCCACCCUACCAAACUUCCUCCCAAGAGAUACUUUUCACUUCUGGUAUAUUCAAUAAUCAACAAAAUCCAGUAAUCUAUGUUCAUUAAAUUUCAUAAUGUAAUUGAGAUGUUAGGAAAUAAAUUCUACAACAUCACUUCUCAAGGAUACCUUCAUACAUCAAUAGUAACUAAUAUGGCAGAUAAUGUAUUUCUAAAAUCAGAGCUGACAAGUGCAUGGUUCAGAAUUUUCUAUUUUAAACCCAUUCUUCUUUUGUUAAUAUUUAUUUAGAAUUCAAACUUGAACCCAGGUCUGGUAGAUGCUGAAAACUUGAGAUGUCUUUUAUUUCAGAGUAAGACUGCCAGUUGACAGUACGUCAAACAGAACAAUAAGUUUAACAUUAUUUUUUUCGUUGCCAGGUCAAAGCAUCAGUACAUGACACUUUAAUCAAUUGCUCAUCUUACAGUUCCAAAUCAAAACCUUGAAAUUAACACAAGGAUUGGGAAGAAAUGUUAAAAACAAACACUGGGAAAUUUUUUGAACAUGGAGUUGGUAAAUGACAGGAUUACCUCCAUAGAUAAUUCUAGUUGAGGCAGCCACUUCAGGGCUUAUAUUAGCGUGAAGCCAUUUCCUCAGUUCAGCAUGUACCUAUUAUUCACCAUGAUGACAAAAACACACAUUGUAAAAAACUGAAAAAGUUAAGCCAACUUUCACAUUCCUAUAAGAACUGGACAUACCAAAAUAAGAUAAAUUUUACAUGCAAAAUUAACCCCUAAGCAGAUUUAUUUUUUGGUAAUCAGUGAAUAAUGCAAAGAAGGAAAAAAGUAUAAAAAGACGCCAGUAAUGGGUUUAUUGAAGAACCAGUUUGGUUCAUAGACCUGGAUUCUAGGCAACUAUUUUGCCACGAAAAUUAGUGUAGUACAAGACUAACAAUAGAUCCACACAACCAAACCCCCCCCCCCCCCCCAAAAAAAAAAAGGACCUUAACCAAUUGUUCAAAUAUUAUCCAAAAAUUUGGAUAUCUGAUCCCUAAAUUCUAAAUCCAUGAUCUCUUUAGUUUCCCAUGAUGAAAUAAGCACACAGGAAACCCAAAGUUCUACUUUUGAAAAAUGUUCUCCAAACCCAUCUAAGCUGCCCAAAAUAGAUAGAGACAGCCUAUCUGUAAGUCACUUGUGUUAUACAGUUUGUCUGUGGGAGACAAACAAAGCUAUCCCGAAAAAAGCACAGGCCCUCCCAGGAAAAUAAAAACCAACAAAUUCAUCGAAUGAAAUUCCAAUUCUGACCAAGAAUAAGAGCUAGGCUAAAGUAAUGUUUUCCUCUCAAGUAAGCAAUUUAUAGUGCAGAAAGCAAGCAACUAGGUCAUUUUAGUUCAUCUUUCAAGACAUUAUCAACCUUGCAUACUCACCAACAUUUUCACAUUAGCAAAAACUUCAUCAAGAACAUUAUAUUCGUUAAGCAAAAUAUUUGGUGUUGUCUUCUACCACCAAGUGACCAAGUAAUUCUAGACAAUUCCAAGCACCACAAGAAAUCAAUUACCAAAGUUCUGUAUAUACAGUUCUUACACCUUGAACAUUCACAUGUUAUCAGCCAUAUUUUUGGUUGAUAAUCAGCAAUACGGAACUUAGGCAAUGAGUAGAGUAUGUAUAAAAUUAGCUAAGGACUUACUUCUUGGGCCUGAGCAGGAGUUGCAACCUUCCCAGUUCCAAUAGCCCAAACAGGCUCGUAAGCCACAACCACAUUAGUCCAAUCUGAUACGCGGUCUGCAAUGUGGAUGGAAUUCAAAGCAGUCAGCUAAAAAACUAACGACUGUUGAGGCCAAUCUAAAACCUGAUAAUGACAUACGCAUAACAUAUACAAACUAAAAGUAAGUGACCAAUGAAAAAGCAAGUGGGCAUACUACCAAUUAGGUUCUGGACAAAUAUUAUUCUGAUACAUGAGUACAUUAAGAAACAAAAGAGCUCUUCAGAAAACAAGUGCUUUUUAUCUCUCGCCUCUCACCUUUGUAUGAUAGUGUUGUGGGGCAUGUCCAAGUGUCUGCUAUACUCUAGUAGAGUAUGGAAAGUCAUUUCCCAGUAAAACAUAGAGAUGAAACCAAAACAACCAGAAACGUACAAUCAAGUAACUGCCAUAGUCCUUAACUAGAAAUUCAUCAGAGAUUUAUUCAUUGAACUCAGAUCUCACAUAAGUCAAAACACUCAGGUGACAGAAAACUGAGCCCAUUAAGGAGGGAAUUUUCAAAUUAAGUUAAACAUAACAUCACAAGGACUAGUAAUCAUAUGGUCAAGACAUCCGGACUAGUUGUUGGCCAAGAGGUGCUGUAACUUCCCCAAGUAUUUGGGGCCAAGCUUAUCAUGUUCCAGAGCAACAAGUUUCAUUAAGACACAAACGCUCUGCAGAAGCGUAGGAAAGUGUGGGACAUGAAGCAGACUGCAAUAGCAGCCGCACAUUUCAUACCCGUGUCUCCAAAGAGACUACUGAUAUCAGUACCUGCAAUUGCCUUAGUUUGUGCAGCAACAACUUCCAGAGUUGAACCUGAUUCUCUCUGCUCAAGAGUCUCUCCAACACAGGCAAUUACCUUCAAACCUCGAGAAAGGGCAUAUGCAACUUUAUCUCCAACAAACUUGAAAGAAAACAGACAGCGAUCAAGAUAAGUUAAUCAGCAAAAGCAUCAAGAGUUUGCUUGAAAUGAAUAGUGACCAAAAUUGAAGCCCAUAAACUUGUUACAGAAGUAGAGAAAGGUUACCUCAUUUGAUUCACCCAAUAUCAAUCUCCUCUCUGAGUGACCAAGAAUGACCCAUGGAAUGUCCAAAUUGACAAGCAUCUCAGCACUAAAUCACAAUUAUGUGACAAAAAAAAGUUUUCAUCAUCUGUUAUAACCUAAGGUUGAAACUUGAUAUAACUUUUUAACAAAAUGUUAGCGAUAUCACAGAAUGGCAGAUAAUUUAUAUUUCAAGAAAUAAAACCGAAUUGGUAUUCAUGCAAAACUAGUUGUCACUAAACAAAUGCCAAAAGGAGCACUGCAAACUUAUAGAGCCAAUAUUUCCAUGUCGGAGUCUCCCAUGGCAGAAAGUAACAAGUUUUAAAAAGACCAAUAGAUUAUACCCUGCAGCCAACAUCCUAAGACAAUAGAAAGAUUAUCUGCCAAACAUACCUAAUCUCACCAGUGUAGGCACCCCCUUUCUUAACCCAACAAUUUUGGGCAGCAACAUGGAAAUCCGGUCGCAAUGAGCCCUUGGUCAAUGGAAGAAACACAAAUGGAGGGCUCACAACAACCUCUGCAGCAAUAACAAGCUCUCAGGAACAUCAGGAAACUUGAAGACAAAAAGUAAAUGCAAACUAAAAUGCUACCCAAACGAAGCUAGUACCAUGAUUACUCACCCACGACAUCCUGAGACGGAACAUCACCAGCAUUAAGUGUUGAGAUUAUUUUCUUCACCUCCUCAUUGGUCCCAUUCUGCACGAAUAAUAGAAUUUCCUCUCAUUAUCAACUUUUCUAGCCACACUCGCUAAUUAGUACCAACAAAAAUCGUUAACUCUGAUUAGUUAAACCAUACAAAAUUUCUUCUAACCGCUUCAAUUUGAACUGAAGUGUUUUCCAUAUCAUUGGCUGUGUGAAUCAACAAUGCCUCUAGCCACACUAGCUAUUUAGUGAAAUAAAGUCACUCAACUCUAAUUAAUGAAACCGCAUCAAUUUUCUGCCAGAUCAAAUGUACGAGAGCUUAAAUCUGAGGUAAAAUAUUUUCUCCUUUUGCUUUAUUUCAAGCAAUUAAUAAUGUCCAAAACAACAACGAGCAACAAGCUUUGAAGUCCAGUCGCUGUUAUAAAAUCGAUGCUCAAGUCACUAGAUUACCAAAAUUGUCCAGUUACUAAUAAAGCAGAAUUUUCCAAUCACAGUUGUCAAAAAUUCAGAAUCAGGAUCUAGACCGUAUCCACUUUGCUAGAUCAGCUGAAAAUACCACCAUGUAAAUGUAGAACGAUCUCCAAACAAACAAACCAAAAAAAUCGAUUCGCAAAGCACAUAAAAAGAAACAGUACAUAUGUAGAAAUAGCCAAUUACGAACAACUGAUGAACAAAAAGACUUACGCAUUUCCAGUUGCCUCCGACGAAGAACUUUCUACCCAUGAUGGACGAAGAUUGCAAGGAUUUCAACUGGAUUGUGGUGUAAGGAAGAAAACUGCGGGCGCUCUAAUGCUUUUUGGGGUUUUCAGGGGUGAUCGAGGAUUAUAUUGCGGGGCUUUGAUUUUUUAUUUUAGGAAAUUGUGAAAAUGUGCGGAUCUAAGUGGAUUGUGUAUCACUGCUGUCGAAAUGACUAGUUUGACCUUUCACAGAAUAUCCACAGAUGUUGUAUUGCUGGUCCUUGUUAAUUGUUCCUCGUUAAGCUUCGGAGCUUGGCAAGGGUAAUCUGGUCAACUUGCUUGCUAUCUAAAUGCAUGGUCUGAGAGGUCACACUAACUUCGUAACUGCUCCUCCCUCCCCGUGAUUAUCGACGUCAGCCUAAUUAAAAGUUUUGGGCUUCGUUUUCCAUGGAUUGGGCCGCUCUAACACCGAGGAGGCUUAGACUCUAGGGACCAACUUUAUUUCAGGACAAAUGUAUUCCAACCUCAGUUUGGGUAUAAAGGUUAUGGGCUUAGACCCAACUCAUCCAUCCCAAUUCCAAUGUCAGGGAAGAGGCUGGUUCACUAGAGGAUGUGGAAGGGGUUUUUUUCUUAUUUUUCUUUUUCCCCCCUCCUCCUUUCUUUUUUGAGCAACAUCUACAUCUAUCUUAUUCUGUCUUAUAGUAAACGAGAACCCAAUUGCAUUAAGAGGAGUCAGAAGAAAAAAUCCCCACCAAAAACCAGAAGGGAUCUUCUGGUUGCGACCAAAGGCCUCGAUCAGAUCAAGGGAUGGUUGGAAGGGGAGAGGAGGAGAAAGGAGAGGAAAGGGGUGGUGGGGGGGAUAAUGGCAAUGGUGGUCAUGGAUGGUAGUAUUAAUUUUUAAAAUGUAUCAUAAAAAUAUUUUUAAUUUUAAAAGAUAUCUUAAAAUAUAUAUCAAAAACCUCUCAAAAAACAUCACAAAAAAUAUAUCUAUAAUAAAAUUUUUUUAAAUACGCUGUUACAAUAAAAUAUUUCAAAAACACUUUUAAAGACAGCUAAUCCAAACGAAACUAUUUGUGCUGGUAAAAACACAUCUAACUAGUAUAAUGGCAAACCCAUCAUAAAUUACCCUCAUUCAAAAAAAAAAAAAGAGAAAAAAAUCAAUUCUUUUGUUAUUGGCAUAUCUUUUUUAUUGCUUAUCAACUAUAAUCAUUAUUUUGUCAUAAAUCGCUGGCACUUAAAACAUCAAUAAUUCCCCGUGAAGGAAUCUCGCCAACUCUUUUUUUUUUUGUCGAUGCGAUAACUUCCUAUACUAUAGAGAAGGAAAGGAUCUCCUAGAGUCCGGAGAUAAUUUGAAAAGGACUAAACCAUCAUGGAAUCAGACCAAUGUACUACGCACUCGUUUGACUUUUUUAAGUAAAGCCACGUCUAAAUGUGACAAAUUGGUGGGAGGGAGGUGGUGGCCACCAAUUCAAAGGCUGGUAGUUAGGAAUCUCGCCAACUCGCCUGUGCCCAAUGAAGUCAAUCGCUCAACAUCACGCUUUUGCCCUUAAAGUGGAUUGCAUGAACCGACUUCAGUAAAGGAAAAUUCCCUUCUAGUCCCUAAAUCAGUUUCCCGCCAUCUCAAAAUUAGGGCUCACUUUCACUACACUGAUUUUGUUAUCGUCCUCAACCCUCACCUGCCAUUCUCUUAGAAAUCGUCAAAUUUUCCUUCCCUACUCCAUACUAGAAAACAAUUCACCCCAAAAUCUUCUUUUAUCUUAUUGAAAUGGCCAGCCAAGCCGAUGCUCAUGCAGCCACAUUCUCUGCUGCCGAGGUUCUAAUAACUUAAAUUGUUAAUUCAUUUUUAUAGGAUUAAUUAAGUAGGAUUUUGGCUUCCUUUUGUCUGUUUAAAAAAAUAUUGCAUCUGUUUGAGUUUUGCAGUUGGAGUUUCUAGCGGAAGAUGAGCUGAUUGAGAUUGUACCAAAUAUGAGGAUGGAUCCUCUCAACCUCAUCUGCGUACUAUUCUAGUCUUUUAACUUAGCUUUAUAUAUGCCCAGAAGAAAAUUUUUGCAAUCUGCUUACGUGAAAAGUACCGUUUUCUUUUUCUUGCUUUUUGAACUUGCCAGGGAGAUUUUGGCCCAUUUAGACCACAAAUAGCUACUCAGGUGCCUGUUUGGUUAGCUGUGGCUUUGAAGAGGAGAGGGAAAUGCACAAUUAGACCUCCUGACUGGAUGUCUGUGGGUGAGUUUUGCUUUUUAAAGAAUUUUCUCUAAUCACUUUUCGUAUUUUGAUGCUCUACCUUUUGCCAGUUCGUGUUCUGCACAACUGGAUAUGAAUUCAACUUGGGGCGGGCCCGUUUGGUGAAAAAAUUGAAGUGCUUUACAUUAAAUUCGUUCUACAGUUAGCAAGAAAUUUUGAAAAUGAAAACUUGAAGGAAAAUGCGAAUGGUGCAACAUAAAUUGCUUGAAAUUAUUUGGGUUUGUGAGUAGAUUUUCAGAGAGGAUACUAAAUGUUACUUGAAAGAGAAAUGAGUAACAGAAGAGAUCGUACCGGAUUGUUAAUUGUCUUCAAUUCAUCUUUGCCAACUAGAAAAGUUGACACAAGUUUUGGAAGCAGAGAGAGAUGCUGAAAAGUUUCAGCCAUUACCAUUCCAUUAUGUAGAAAUCUCAAGGCUUCUUUUUGAUCAGUAAGUUGCUCUGUAUGUUAUUUUGUAUUCGAAAGUGAUGAGUGCUUGUUUUGUUGUUUUCCUGUGUUGAUGGUGGCAUUUGUUGUGUAGUGCACGUGAUGACAUUCCUGACAUAUACAUGGUUAGUUAAAUGGUCCCUUGAGGUUCUCUAGUUACACUUAAUUAAUAUUUGCUCACAGAAUGUCAAUUUUAAUGCUUUUAGGUAAGGUCAUUGAUUGAGGACAUCAAAGAUGUGCGGUUUCACAAAAUUGGAACUGGCUUAGAGAUAAUAUCAAGGGAGCGAACAUAUGCAUUGAGGGUACACUUAUUCUUAUUUUUGUGAAUUCAUUGUUGAAAUGAUAGGUUUUACCUUUCAAUUUAUAUCUUGAGGUUAUGACAUUUGAGCUUGGAGAUGUCCUUUCUUGAUUCUUCUCAAAAAGUGAAACGUUAAAGAAAGCUGAGAAGAUGACAAGAGAUUAUGUGCCUGCAUAUCUGUUGUCCUAUUUCCUGUCUAUGUUAGACAUGAGAUUAUCAUUGUUGUCACGUUGAAAAUGUAGGUGUAGAACCACUGUUUAUUUUGCUCCAGUGUCUAACUACUGCAAAAUUGGCUCAGGACCGUAUGCCAUCAGUAACUUACUAGUAUUUGCUUCUAACAUGAGUGCGACUGUUUGUGCUUUGAUUGCUGUUUGACUGGUGCUUCCUGCAAUGAUUUUCUUCUCAGUGCUUUUCUGAACAUACUUGGCUCAAUGGAAGAGUAACCCCUGGUCUCUUACUAAAGUUAUCCUUUUACAUCCUUAACCAAAUGCACUUCUUUGUCUCAGAAUUGGUUUAUCCCUCCUGCAAGGAUAUAAUGUCCUUUUCUGGUACCUGAACUGCUCUGAUGCUUAUUAGAAUUAGAAUGUCUAUGUUUGUUCUAUGUGUCAAUCUUUCUAUUUGAUUUCUAGAUCUAAUAGAAAGCAAAUGUAGACAAUGGAGUUCUGAUAUUCCUGUUACAGUCUAAAGGUAGGGUGGCGGUGGGCUUAUAAUCGUUAUAUUCUUCAAUCUCAGAAUUGAUAUUUUAUUGGAUUAAAAGGGAAGGUAAGGAGCAAAAAUUCAAGUGGACAAGUUUGUUGCUACUUGAAUUUGAUUCAGUUUUAUGGAAAUUAUUUGUUAGCUUGUUAAUGUUAAUCCAGAACCAUUUCAUGCAUAUAGAUGCUCUGUAACAGCAAGAGAACUUCAUUUGUAGUAAGUCCUGAAUAUCACCCUUCAAUUUUGUAGCUGAAAAAUCUGUCAGCAAUGGAAGCAAAUAUAGUGCGGCCAUUUGUGACAAGGGCUCUUCAGACAUUUUAUAAGCUCAAUAGUCCUGAUAUGAUUCAGGAAUCAGACAGCGUGUCAAACAGACAGCCUCAAACGGCCAACCGUGGGCCAAGGGUGAGCUUCUCAUUCCUGUAUAUCUGUAUCUUUUGGCCCUUAGAAUAUUUUUGUUAAGGCAUGCAGCAUGGCAUGGAACUUGCCAACACAUUAGCUAUAGCACUUGAAAGUACUUGACAAAUUGUGAGUGAGCGAAUAAUAUACUUAAUCUUCAUGCUGAGGUUGUGAUGCUAACUUUUUAUGUUUUUUGACUCAGCGUCAAUUGAAAGAUAGAUGAUCGUAUCCCCAUUGGUAUUUUCAAUUGGCUUAGCAACCACCUCAGCAUUUGUUGCUGAAGUAACAACAUUCAGAACGCUAGCUGGAGGUGCUGCUGUGGUUGAGUAAACUACCCAAUAUUGCUGUUGUCGAUCCCUUUUCAUGUUGAAAAAGCAUCGAGAAGUUCACUGAAAGGAAUGUGGCAUUUGUUUGGGUUUCUUAUCUUUGAAAACUGAACACAUAGAUAAACUCAGCGUUGAAGCUUCUGCUCUCUCUUUUUCAAUUAACUAAGGGUCAUCAUUGCUUUUUAUGGCUGUUAGUUUAUUGCGACAUGAGGAAUGGCAUGGAUCAGAUGUUUUGUUGGUCAUAUUGUAGGCAGCUGAAGGCCAUUAGCCUGAAUAAAAAUAACUUAGUUUACGUGUUAUGUUUUAAAUGAUAAGGAGAUGGAGUGUACUUGUUUCUUAUGAUGCUGCAGCACACUCUAUGAAUGGGAAUUUUUUUCUUUUCUUUAGUAAGCCUGUGUUUCAAAGGCUAGUCUUCGCCGAGACUGUCUAUGAAAUGUGGAGAUCGAAGAAGCUGGUAUAUUUCAAUCAUAGCCCUUAAAUACUGUCGUAGUUAUGAACUAAUGUGAAUGAUGUACAACAUGUGGUGGUGCAGUCAUGGAGUAAGAUUCCCAGGCGUAGAGCAAACUAUGAGCAUGCACUGAAGUAUUUAAUUUUUUUUUUCUGCCAAUAACGACAAUAUUCGUAUAAUUUAAUCUAUCAUAUUCUACAGAAAGGAAGAGUCUAAAGAGAUUGUGUAAGGAAUUAAUAAAUAUAUAAAUCUGAUUAGAUCAAAAUGGUACUUUAACAUCAUUUUAAAAUUUUUUUUUACUGCAUGUGAAGUUUAAACCUCCAACCUAUAAUUCAAAGAGGGACUUAUGCCUUUUUGGACGUGGGUGUGGGAGGUUGGGGAGUGGCCUGGGGUUGAAUAAAACAGUACUGAAUAGUUGUUUGAUUUUGACGUAUCAUUAGGUUGUCAGAUAAAUCAGGCAAGGCUGGAGAAUUCUUCUGCUAAUAAAAGCAGAGUGGCUACCAGGCAGUUGAAUGUUGCAUUAAGCUCGUUGCUGACUUUGCCAUCGUCUUCACUUCGCAUAGACACGAAUAACUUGACAAUUCCCCCGGCUGAGAUUGCCAAGAUCAUACAACUCUGACCCAGAUAAGGCCACGAAAUGGUGCGUGUGCAGUUGUACGUACCAUUUCUAACCAUAUAUAUUGACAUCAGAAUGAGAAUACGACGCAAUCAACAGUCAACAAUCUUUGGACUGUUGACCAUCAUCAUCAAUUAUCAUUAUAUAUAUCUUGUCAUUUAAAUAAUUUAAAUUUAUAUGAGUAUGUAAUGCACUCAUCUACGAACGAGAAAGGAAGACAAAUUCUUUUGAUGUCCUCAGCAAAGACAAAUGCUAGUUCUUGAGGACAGUCGUCAUCAAUGUAGCCAGGUUACUGUCCAGUUUGGCUCCUAUCCUUGCCAAUUUAUCAACGCAUCUGCUGGCUUCGCGUUACCCUUGUGUCGGACGUGUGCAAAUUCUCGUGCUUCUCGAACAUCUUGACCAGUGAAGAAUGUUGUAUACUCUUGGAAACUAAUUUAAGGAGGAAAAAAAAAUUGCUAUGCACGAUGGUCGAUGCUUUAGCCAAGUUUCGGCAUCUCUUGCUCUGAUAUACCUGAGCACAGAUUAUUAUAAUCCAAGAGAUUUGAUCAAAUUGUGGUUUAAUUAGUCGCUUGUAUUUGAUAAUUGAGCUGUAAGCAUGUGCGUUUUGGUGGACCAAAUUAAAGCUCCCUUGCAUUGGUGGUCCAGCUGGUUUGUCAUGCAGCAGUUGGGUACGCCAGUUCUGCUUGCCACGUGUCUAUAUAGUUUUAAAUGCCAGAAAUGAACAGAAGAAUACAGAUGAAGUGGCUGGCUGAGACAGAACCGAAGAGCGCAAGGUAAUCCUUAAAAUAGCCAGGUUGAUAGGUGUUGUGACAUGUCCGCUGCUCCCUGCAUGCGGCCCCCACGCCUUAGAUGAUUAACAAAUGAAUUGUGGCUGGACAUGUGGAACUAGUCAUUUUUUGAUGAUGAAGGAUUGAACAUGCUGGAAUUCUGUAAAACUUUGCGUUAAAAGAAGUGACUUCCACUGUAAUUUGUAAAGAGGUAAAUAAAUAAGCAUCUAAAAAGUGGGUAGGCGAAGCAUAUGGAUGUGUGUGGCUAUUUGCAGAGGGUUCUGAACCUUUAUAUUCAUGAAGCAUGGGCUCUGAAAAACUCGACUCUUUCAGAAGGUAACGAAACAUGUCACCCUAGUUAUUUCAAGGGCUCUGCCCGCGCCAGCUUUAUGUUCCAUCCUCGAGCACGUAUGAAUGACUUGGGAGGACGAUUGCUUCAAUUCUUAUCGUUUGGAUAUUGGCAUGGUUGUCAAAAUCAAAAGGUCCGCAUUCUUGUUUUUUCUUUGGUGUUAUUGAAGUUUUUCCGUCCCUAAUCGAAUUGGCAGGAUAUGGGAGCUGGACCCUAUUUAAAACGUGGUUGGCCCGUGGUGGUUUUCCUUCCAUAAUUUGCCAAGAUUGACUUGAUCAAAGCAUUUAUGAUAAGAAAGAAAAAAGACCGAGGCACGUAGGAAGGAUGUGGAGAGGAUUUUUUUUCAAAAAAAAAAAAAAGAGCAAAGAUAUAAAGAUUUUUCUCUGAUUCCUGGCUUAUUAGAAAGACCAGAGAUGGACACGUUUGGAAUUUGGGAUGAAUAUAGUCCGUAUAGAAAAACCUUACCCUAUACAUUAAACUACUAUAAUACACUAGUGUUUUGCUUUUCUUUUUCUUUUGGGACUUGCCUAACUUGAAUUGAAAAUCCUAAAACCAGGAUUAUUAAUUACACCCAUUAGCUAUUACUAGCUUGAAGGUUCCAUUGCACAGCUGUGUUUGUUAACCUUUAAUCGACAAAUUUUACAUGAAUCCCCUUUUAGUCUUCGUCCUCUUAAUUUAAAUGAGAGGUUAAAAGAAUUUACCUUCUUUUUCCUUUUAACAAAAGGAGAUCAACGUAACAUUUAAAAAAAAAAUAAAAAAAUUGGGGCUUGGAUCUCCGUGUUCAGAAUAUCUGCAACAUAACAUGUGGAUUUUUUUAACUUCUCCUAGUAUAAUAUGUGAAGAAGGCGGUUAUAAACUUAUAAAACACAUUAUAGUAUAUUUGUUCGUAACCGUCAGCAUUGAUUAUUUUUUUUCUUCAUUUUGAUGCAAUCUCUUUGACAGUAUUCUAAUGUCCAAAAUCAUAUAAGCUGUAACCAAAGACCAUGCUCGCCUCUCGGAUAUUAAAAUAAUUAGCAAAGCAAAGACCAUCCGCCUUUUCUGAAUGAACAAUCAUUUUCCUGAAUAAUUUUCCGCAUAAAUUGAUCCAUUCUGGUUGCCUAAUGGGAAUAAACAAAUGAUCUUCGGAGCUUCCGCCCAACGUGGCGGCCCACCUAAAAUCCUAGAACUUCUAAAUUAUUGAGGCGGUGAAACCGAAACCUCAAGCAAUUCUCGACAAUCAAUCAAUCAAUCAAUCAGAGUUAACAAAUCGUGAACUGUCUGGUUUGUUUUUGGUCAUACGACAUUUUGAUGGCGGGAUCUAUUUCAUGAAACUUGAGCAAGGUCUGUGGGUCUAUUAUACUUAGCUGAACAUAGAUUGUGGAUUGCGUUUUCUUUAGAGUACUCUCUACUUUUUUAUGUUAAAUUUUUUUUUUUUGGAAUGUAAUGAACCCAAUAUAUAAAUACUAUUCAAAAAAAAAAAAUAACAAGUAGUUGGGAGAUGUGUCCUAAAAAUAUUUUAUAAUUUGUUUCCAAAGACAAAAAGAGAUGACCUUCAAAACGUAUAGGACUAGUAGCUAAUUAACUCAGAGAAUGGUAGUUAAGUUUAAGAAUUGAGCCUUAAGGUCCAAUUUAAGAUCAACUUCUGAAUGGACCCGUUGGUUGGACUAUCAAUGACAAGUCUUAUUUGUCAUGAGCGACGACUUGGAUUUUAUUGAAUUUGAUGUUGACGACUUAAAUUGCGUGACGUAUUAAACUUUAAAAAAAUCUAACUAAAGUUAAAUCAAGAGUCAAAAUCAACUGAUUUAACAAAGCAUUUCAUAUAAGAAAAAAAAUAUACAAAUUUGAAAUACACUCAAUUCGAAAUAUGAAUAAUUUACUAAAUUAGUUGUAUUCUUUCAAGGUAAUUGCGUUUAGAAUUCGUCAACAAAGCAAACCACCAUGUACAAUUUUUUAACGACCCUGAAAAGCUAGCUGAAUUUGCUUUGAAUCGUUCUUGUAGAUAUUCUAAUAUACCGAGGCAUUUUCUCAUCAGAAUAUUAAAGCUACUCCGAUCCGUUGCUUAAAUGCGGUUUAUCUCUUUUUCACUAUUCAAUGAUUGAGCUUCAAGUGCUGUCUUUGGCUAACCUAUGAUGUUAAUUAAGGGAGGGAGAGACCUAUGAUGUUAAUUUUUUGUAAAAUUAAAAUUUGUUCCAAAAAGUACCUAGAUAUAUAUAUGAUAUGUAUGCUUUUCUUAUUAAAAAGUGGUAAAAAAUUAGGGUAAUCAUCCAGACCAUCAAAUAUGCUUUUGGAUAGUUGGAUCAUGUAUACUUAUGGAUCGCCUCCUUAUAGAGCAAGUAAUAGUCCUUUUACCCAAAAAACCAAUAAUAGUAAUGAUAAUAAUAACAACAACAACAAUAAUAAUAGGAUUAAUCUUUCUUACAACACUGUGUGACAGUGUAUACACUGUAAGUGUGUUAUGAUAAAUAUAUAAAAUUUAAAUUUAAAAUUUAACUUUUACACAUAUGUGAUAGAUUCAAUAAUGAUAGUAUAGUAUAUACACUGUCGACAGUCAGUCGGUGCAUAUAAAAUUUACUCAAUAAUAACAACAAUCAUAAUAAAAGAGAGAAAGAGAAGCGAAAGUGUAUUCCCUAAAAGGGAGGCCUGGGCACUGGGAAUGGCUUGCGCACCAAAUAGUUCUCCACUUAAACUUGAAAUCUUGCAUGUUUUAAUUCACGCACAAGAUCUGUUCUUGAUUUGAUCAAGUCAUGCGACGUAAAAUAUUGAACACGCUUUAUUUUGGAACAACUGGCUAACAGUCAAGCAGCAUGCAUAACGUACGAACCCCAAUUAAAACUCAAUCCUCUCUAAUGGGGAAAAUAAGGGAAACGCGAUGCAACGCUUUUGGACUCGCUUGCAACCGAGAUGGAUAGAUAUAGAUUUAACUCUCUUAUUUUGCAACUUUCUUGACGAAUAAUUGUUAUUAAAUCUGGAUUUAAUAGAGAAAAUUUGCACUAAUUAAGGCAACAUGCUUCUUUCCUCACUUGGUGAUUCAACUAAUUAAUCACCAACCCUAAGUCCCUAACCAGUCCUUCCCAUGUGAUAUUGGUUGGCAACUCGCAUGGGUGUAUGGCGGUGGAAGUUGGAAGACGAUCGGAGAAGCCGAGUUCGAAGUCAACUCUUUAACGUUCAUCACCGCGCUUCGUCGUCAGGGAAUUGCCUUGCGAAUCACGUCAUCCCGCUCCAGUCAACCCUGAACUUUAAACCUCCCGUAACUGUAAAGAAUUUCCUCGAAACCCAUAACCGGGCGGCCGGUCGCCGGAUUUUGUCCCAUUUGUCCAUGCAUUUUAAUGCCCUUCCUACCCCUUUCCUCACCCUGUCUCUCUCUUCUUGACAAAUUGAUUUCUUCUACGUUGCAGUCUUGCCGUCGCUUUAUAGCACGCCCACCACAAAUCACAAAUGCUGGUUCAUGAAGCUCCGACGAAAAUAACGAAGGAAACAAAACAACAUGUUACUCUCGCUCGAAUGAAUAGAAUCAUUUUCUAGCCAGUGGAUAAGAUAAAUCCAAUCUCAGGAGUAAGCUUAAAAAAAAAAAAAAAGAAAGAAAAAGAAGGUGUAAAAUGAGCUUGACAAUGAAAUUGCUUUUCCCUGUGGGGGUGAAGUAGACAUGCAUAUAUCUAAGUGAAAAUACCAAUAGAUCACGGCACCCAUAUGCCUCGUGAGUCACAUUUCUUUGAUUAUUUGCAAUUGAAACAACGAACUAGUGGAAAUAAACAUAAAAUCUAUUUGAAGGAUUCUUUAGGGAGACGUAUCGUAUGAGGGUAAAAAAAAAAAAAGAUAAAUUGUAGUAUUAUGUAUACAUGACAAAAAAAAAGUUUUCUAUUUAAAAAAUUGACGACAAAAAAAAUGUCUAAUAUCUGAUACUUUCUAAAUGUUAUCCAUUUUUCUCUCGAUUUUUUUUAAAAUUAAUUUUCCUAUUCACAUAAACUUAUGCUUUCUAGACAUUGUCCCUUUUUCUUCACACUUUAUAGAUAAAUUUUGUUGACGCUGUCCCUUUUUCUUCUCACUUUUUAGGUAAAUUUUGGAACACAAAAUUCGAUCAAAAUAGUCAUUGCAUCACAAAUAGUAUGCUUUUUAGGUAAACUUGGGAUGUCCUUUGAUUUUACUAAAUAGUUUUUAGGCAAAAUUUUUUCUAUUAAAACGAAUGAGUUUACUAUUCUAAUAUGCAUACAUAAAUGAAGCUAAUAAUGCAUCCUUCUAUUUGCUUUUUUUUUUUUUUGAUAUUUAACGAGGUUAGGAGAAAAUACAAAAUAUCUUUUUUGACUCAAAAAAUAAAUAGUUUGUCAUCUGUCAACUUGCCAAAUUUUCUACACGAGCAAAGCUAGCUGUGAGUAAUAUUUAACGUCUACCGUACGUGAUUUAAUGCAGGCAAAACAGCGAAAGAUUGACAGCGGAUUAUAAGCAGAUGGCAAAGAAGCUGUAAAUUGAAUAAAACCCCGUAAUAUUUUCAAAAAACAAACAAAAAAAAAGGGAAUAAACCCCGUAGAUCCGUCCACAUGCGUCUCCAUAUUCAUUCACCUUAUCCGUUGAAGUCGCAGGAUUUUGCUUGGGUAUUACGAAAAGCCUCCGAGGAAAAGCCCAGAAAUGUCAUUUCACGUUCCCUCCUCUUUUCAUUUUAUAUGAAGUAGCUGUCCCUCGCUGCGCUUCUUCUUCUUCAUCCGCCUGGGGUUGCAGGCUUGCACUUCAUUCUCCUCGAAUAUUCUUUUCUUCACCUCACCCAUCUGGAUCAUAUUGUUAAAGUUCCAAAUAUAUCCCCUCCUUCAAACCUAUAUAUAACUCUCCAAUCGAAAAUUCAAUUCGAUUGAAUCCUCUAUAAUCCUUCAAAAAAAAAAAAUAACAAAAGAAAAUCCUCUAUACUUUGUUUUUUCUUUUUCUUUUUUUGGUUUGCCUUUUAAUGCAGUUUCACUGCCUUCUCCUAUUAGUCAUAGAAUUUUGAUAGUCCGAAUAAGGUUCGGAAUUCGAGGUAAAUCUUCAAUCGGAGUAACACCUAAUGAUCGUUAAAUUCAGGAAACUUGAAUUGAAUUUACAGAAUUUUGUGAAGUUCAAUUCGCGUUAUUUUUCGUUUCCUGAUUUUUUAGCGGUUGAAAGAAAAAUGGUGAAAUUGUUAUGACGGUGCGGACGAUGAUGGACUGUAAAGUUUGUGCGGCAUCAGGAGAUUUUUUGUGGCGGGUGAGACCGGGGAUUGCAGGAGGCGGAGGUGGCGCAAGUAUGGGACAGAUGGACGGAGGGUUUAGUCCGUCGGAUGGCGAACAUGACCUGGCGAUGAUGGUCAGUGAAUUCUUGGAGUAUGGGAGUAGCGGGGGAGCUGACUCCAGGUGUAGCAGCGAUAGCGAGUCUGGAUUGUGCGAUAUCGCUGACCUCGCGGACAAAAUUUCUGUAAGUCUUAUUCAUCUAAGGAUUAGUUUUGAUCAUUUUUUUUCUUUUGUUUUAAAAGUUAACUGUUUAUUUUCUGGAAUGUCUUUUUUUUUUGCAAGUUCUUUGUUUUUAUGAGUUUUCCUUUGGUGAUUGAUUGAGGAGGAAAACUCUUGAAAGAAUUGUGCUCUUGUUUUCCCGGUCAUUUGAAGGGCUUAGAAGGAUUCAUUCAUGCCUUGUUGCCUAGAUUAUAAGCUUCGAAAUUUGGUUAUAGGAUUUCUUUUUUGAUUUUCUAGAACUUCACAAAACAAAACAAAUAGGAGCUUUCCUUUUUUCUUUUUUUUUUAACUGAUUUUUUCCCUUAAUUUUUCAUUGAAUGAAUUGUACCCUGAAAAUCUUAUAUGUGCAGGUGUUGCUUCUUUAAGACUUUGUGUUGCCUAGGUUGCGAUACAGUAGUAAUUCUUGUUAUAUUCUUUCCAGAGAUGACCUGGGUAAGGAAGGGAUUGGCUGGUUCCAAGACUUGGGCAUAUUCUUUAACUAGUCAGGAGCGUGUCUUUUGCUUUCUCUGUAGAUACGUGGACUUCUUAUUUCACAGGUUUUUUGUAUAUUACGAGAUCCUUUUGAGUAUAUAUCCAACAAUAAUGUUUUUGCAUGGCGUUAUAGCGAAACCUUGUGGCUAGUUGAAUCAUCUAUGCAGUAACUUGUCUACCUCACUAAACAUUUCAGCGUCAUGAAGUGAAUGCCUACUUUCCUUUUAGGCCUGUUUUGGAGUUAUGUUUACCAUUUUCAAGUGCAAAUUAACAACUCCAAAUUACUACUUGCUUGUAAAAUUACAGUUGAUAGAAGACUUAGAAACUCCUGCUUUCCUCUUUCUCCUUAAAUUCGCAUGAAGUCGUAGGAAUUACACCUUUCCUUUUGUGUCUCAAGCUAACUUAUUUCCUCUCUUCUUAUUCCCCCACCCCACUCUUUUUUUUGAAUAAUGAAAAAAUAGCUCCUAAUCCGAAUAAAUCUGUAGUAAUUAUACAAUAGAAGACUGGUCGUCAUGAGUCAUUGCUUAUAUCUUCCUUUUUUUGUUUUUCAUAUCAUAUAGUAUCACAAGCUGGCAAUGGAUCAAUUUGAGAUAGACACGCUUUCGGUGGUUAAUUCACUUCUGUUAUCUAUAAGCGAGAAGGACCUUCUGCACGUCAAGUCUGGUUUAUGUAAUGCCAGCUGCAUCAGAUUUUCCUUGGUGAAGCUUCUGAGGCUUUCUGGUUAUGAUGCUGGUGUUUGUGCAGCCAAGUGGCCUGGCAGUUCCAAGGUUCCUGGAGGUAUAAUCUUGUUCUAAUUUCCAACAUGCAUUUAUAUAGUUGACAUCCAAGAUUUGAAAUUUCAAAAUGUGUUGGAGGGUUUUCUAAGGCAUCUGUAACAUACAACAUACAUCUUGCCUUCUGCACUGAUUCUUGCUAAGCUGGUUGCAUUGUCCAUUUCUCUUACUGCCUUCUAAUUGACAGUGAAUGAAACUCUCCUGUGGUUUGCUGCCAAUGCCUACGAACCUUUUCAUGAAGAAUUUAUUUGGUAAUAAAGCUGGUUCGAUAACACGUGUUUUUCCAUUCUGGUAUUCAGGGGAUCAUGAGUACAUCGACGUGGUUAACUACACGAAUGCUGGAAGCUCAAGCUCUGAACGUCUGAUAAUUGAUAUUGAUUUCCGUAGUCACUUUGAGAUUGCUAGAGCUGUGGAGUCCUAUGAUAGAAUGUUGAAUUCACUUCCUGUAGUUUUUGUGGGCUCUUUGACAAAGCUGAAACAGUUCCUUCAGGUUAUGGUUGAAGCUGCUAGAUCUUCUCUGAAGCAGAAUUCAAUGCCUUUCCCCCCUUGGAGAUCUCUUCCUUAUUUGCAAGCUAAGUGGCAGUCUCCCUAUCAAAGAAAGUUUAGUCCUGAGGAACCCAAUGCUUAUGGAGGGUCUUCUAUGGAGCAUAAACAGUGUGGUGGACAUUUGAGGAGACUGCAGUCUGAGCUUGAAAUUGAGCGACUGUUGAAGCCUGUGAAGAGCAAUAAUUGGAAGCCAAAGCCUGACAAUAGGUGGAGGCGCUCCUCGUAUAUGACUCUUUGACAAAUAAAUUCUGGAGGCAGCUAGGGAGUGUAAGUUCUUGCCUGUUUGCAGACCUGACUUGGUAUGUGAAAGAGGUGCUAUGGCUUUCCUCGUUUUGAGAACCAAUUUUGAGGAGAUUCUCUGGGUAGAGUUAGAAGAAGCAUUCUGCAAAAAAGAGCAGAGGAUAUGAUAUAGUGGUAUUUAGAUGAAUUUACACACAGUAUUAGAAUGGGAACAUUUUAUCCUACUCCCAUCUAAUAAUGGCGCCCUAUACAUUUUAUCUCAUUCUUUGUGCUCCAGAAGAAAGCAAGAGCGUCAGGUUCUGGAUGUGGUGCAGGUUCUCUCCAUCAUCAACUGCAUUUGCAUCCUGCGAGCUGAAAAUGCUCGCUGGUGGAGCAAGUUUUCUGUUUUGUUGGUUGUCUUUUUAGGGUCUUUUUGCCUCCUUGGAAGGCAAAUUUUGCUCUCUUCUCUUCUGCGGGUUUCCACUUCAAUUGUUAAUUUGAGCUGCUUGUAUUGGUCAUGUUAAGCUUUCUCCGGUGGUCAAAUGAUUUUUUUGACCGUAUCCAUGCUACUUGCUUUCUGUUGCUGCAAAUUGCAAUCAAUCAGUCCCUUUCAUUUUAUUUUAUUUUAUUUUAUUUUACUACAUUAAGGGACUGGAAUAUGUGUUACAGAUUGUAGUGAUGGGAAAUGACUUCGGAUAUGGCAAUUCCCUCACUUGGGGGAACCCUUUAUGGGGCAUUUCCUAAUAUGUAUGGUUACCACUGGGCAAGUUUCGAGCAUUUGAUUAAAAGCGUUUUACAAUUUACAAAAAAUAGCUACACUAAUGUCUAAGGCGAGCCCAACUAGGUUUUUACACAGAGGAUAAACCAGGACUGACAUUUGACCUUCGACUAUGUGCAUCAUAUGUUACAGAGAAGGGAAAUUGAAAGGAAAAAUUGACAUUUCACCACCAACUACAUGGAUAAUGACCAGUUAAUGGGCAACCAAUUCUGCGGAUAUAUUAAGACCCUGUAAAUCUCUUUAUCAUCUUACACAGUUGGAUGCUUUAUGGAUCAAUGCCUAUCUAGAAAAGAAAAACAAUUUUUUUUUUUGUUUCUGAAAAAAUAGGAAGGAAUUUACUAAAUCCAGAUGCAAUAGAGGGCUGCAGGUAAGAUGUAGGUUUUGCCUUAAAUGGAGAGUUAAAUUUGACGAAUUAAGAUGUGGAACGUUUUGUUUUGUUUUGUUUUUUAUUUUCUAGCCUGUUGGACAUGUAUGUGGACCUGAAAUUGUCACACCAGGCACGCAAUGGUCUGUUAAGCCCUUCGGCGUCGGACAGCGCACAGGAUGGGCCAAAAGCUGCUAGUCCAACACUCAAAAAUGGAGGCCGAAGUGGACUCUGAAAAGUCUCAAGACCAAACACGAGGAAAGUCUAGAUUUAUCGUACAUCAUUUAACAGCCCAUGACUUGUAUACCACCGUAAUGCUCAUCUAGAAUUUUAGAUUACGAUAUGGCUUCUCCAACCAAUUCAAUAUUGCCAAGUUUGAUCAAGAUUUUUUUAUUUCUAUCCAAAAUCGAGCAAUUCACUCUUCCUACGCAGCAUCAUAAGAUUCCCAUCGUUUUCUUCGCGUCGCCUUCUUGCUGUCCACCUGGACGGCAUUUUCUUUGUUUACUUUUAGAUGAGUCAAGAGAACAAUAAUAAUAAUAAUAUCCUAACCUAUUGAGUAUUGCGGAAAACGCGCAGAAUAUUUGAUGAUUGAUGAGCUACUAUGCCUCAUCUCAUCACAUACUAUUACUUUUCCUUUCAAACCCGUGGUCUCACUUCGUCACCCAAGCUUAAAGGUCAGCCUCACGAACGUUCCAACUGAACGGACAAAACAACUGGUCUUGUCUGAAACAGAUCAAAAGUGCUGGUAUAAAACGCCGUAGCCAAAUCCAACAUGCACCAUCCCUCCUGAUUAAAGUAACACAUAGGAACUAGGGAGGUAGAAGUUAGACCUGGAACCCAUCUCUCCUUCCUGUAUAUCUAUCUCUGUUCCCUAUUUACAUGUAUAAUAACAAUAACAGAAAUAUGGAGAUGUCCAAGAGGACACAAUCUUCGGCCAUGGCCAUCUUUCUUGUGUUUGCUCUUUUUAUCCAACAUUUCUCAGCAGUGCAAUCGAUAGGGGUUAACUAUGGUACCGUUGCAGACAACCUUCCGCCACCGGCUCAAGUUGUUCAAUUCAUCAAAGACAAGACCUUCAUAGACCGCGUGAAGAUAUUCGAUGUCAACCCCGAUAUCAUCCGGGCCUUCGCCAACACCGGAAUCUUGCUCACCGUCACGGUCCCCAACGGAGAGAUCCCCAACCUCACCAACAUCAGAUACGCUCGCAGAUGGGUGAAUGAGCACAUCAAGCCAUUCUACCCGCAAACCAAAAUCAACUACAUCGCUGUAGGAAAUGAGGUCCUCCACUGGGGACCCCAGAAUCUGAUCGACAACCUCGUUGCUGCCAUGAGAACCCUUCACCAGGCUCUCGUCAAGAAUGGCAUCACAGAUGUAAAGGUGACGACACCACAUUCUCUAGGCAUUCUCGAAUCUGCUAAGCCGCCCAGCCUGGCUAAAUUCAGGCCUGGUUGGGAUGUAGGUGUUUUGGCACCCAUGUUGCAAUUUUUACGCGAAACCAAGUCUCCUUUUAUGGUCAAUCCGUACCCGUAUUUUGGUUUCGACCCCAAGGAGAUUGACUUCGAUCUCUUCAGACCAAACAGAGGAUAUUACGACAGGUUUUCCAAGAGGAGUUACACGAACCAGUUUGAUUUGCUGUUGGAUGCGGUUUUUAUGUCAAUGAAGAGACUGGGAUAUGCGGAUGUGGACAUUGUGGCAGCCGAGACGGGUUGGCCAUCUCAAGGGGAAACAUUUGAGCCACAAUGCACUCCUGCUAAUGCUGCUGCGUAUAACGGAGGAUUGGUGAAGAAGUACAACUCUGGGAGCGGGACUCCAUUGAUGCCGCACAGGAAGAUUGAGACGUACAUCUUUGCCUUGUUCAAUGAGAAUCAGAAACCGGGUUCGUUGGCUGAGAGAAGCUGGGGAUUGUUCAGGCCUGAUUUUACUCCUGUUUAUGACGUUGGAAUUAUGCGGGGGGGACAGGUAUGAAAUUCGGACUCUUAUAACUAUUAUUGCCUUAAUUAUGAAUGAAGUACUUUUGCCGUCUCUUGAAUUUGAUGUCUUUUCAUAGAUGCCCUUUUUACUAGUACUCCGUCCACGCCUUACCAUAAUGCAAUUAGAAGAUGAAUUGAAAAUCACCCAAUAUCUGCAUUUAAUUUAUAUUCUCCCAGUCAAGAGCUAAGACAACAAUAAUGGUUGCAUUGCAUGAGCAUGCAUUAAUUCUGCUAUAAUCAAUCCUUCAAAUACCAGUCCUUUCACUGAAGAUUGCCCAUUGAGAAUGAAUUCUGGUAAAGUUCCUCCCUUUACUUUAAACACAGCAUUUGUCUGUUUUGUUAUUGGAAUCUUCAAAAAUUAGGCCGACAUUUGAACACGGAACACGAAGCAUCGUUUGUCUGUUUUGCCUUUAGGCUUUAGGAGGAGUAGGGACACCGCAUUUGAACUUUUAUCCCGUUUCAACCUCAUAUGUUUGACAAAAUUACGGGAUAGCGAAAUGUGAAAAAUAGAGGAGUGUGGGGCUCUGGCGAAGGCUACAUCUGUUCCGCGUUGGACUGCUCCGAUUUCCGCGUUGAACCUUGGGACGAUAAAUGAUUCUUCUGACGAAGAUUCAUUGGUGAAAUUUCAAAUCCAUAAAUGACUAAAUAAAUAAAUAACUGCAUCAUCCAAUUAAUUAAACUUUGCAUGUUGUAGUGGUACUAAUGCGAAGCAGAAGACAACUUAUUAGGCUGGAAAAUUUACUAACUGAAAAAAAAAAUGUUUGAAUUAGCAGAAGAAAUUUGAUUCUUCUACUUUGUGGAAUGUUAGAGUCGGAAUGGUUCUAAUCCUCGAUGCCCUCUCUAAAAUGAGUCAGACAGGAAUCUUGUGCUAUAAUAUUGCCUUUAACCCUUUCCACCUUUACACUUUUGCUUUUUUUUUUUCUUUUUUUUUUCUUGGAUGGACCAGUCGGCUAAAUCUUGUCCCAUUUUCUUUUGACCUUCAGAAACAGCAAUCAGAAAUCACCCGAGUACUCUACAGUCUCCCCAUUCAAAGAAAACACUAGUAUAGUAGUGCAUCAUCUUUUUUUCAUUCUGCUGUAGUUAUUUGCUUAGUUGAAAAGAAGACGUAGGAGUAUUACGGUGACCAUAAAAUUAAGCUCGGCGGUGUGAUGAUGAAUUUAAUUUUGCAGUCGUCACAGCCAGUUCCGGUGCCAGGAGCACCGGCAUUGCAGGGCAAGGAAUGGUGCGUGCCAAAGGCAGGGGCCACAGACGCCGCACUGCAGAGCAACAUAGAUUACGUUUGCAGCCAGGGCUUAGAUUGCAGCCCGAUUCAAGCCGAGGGCGCCUGCUUCAAUCCCAACAAUGUGAGGUCUCAUGCAGCUUUUGUGAUGAACUCAUGGUACCAAUCCAAGGGCAAAGCUGACUAUAACUGUGAUUUCUCUCAAACCGGUUUCCUCACCUCUACCAACCCUAGUAAGUCCCUCUAUUUUUAUUGCUGCAACACAAUUUUCCAUCUCAAUAUAUACUUCCCUCUGAUCAGCAGUUUACCAUUCGUGGAUGGUACUUAGAAUGCUUCGUCUCUGGUUUUUGAAUUUUCAGGUUAUGGCACAUGCCAAUACACCAGCUAGGAUAUCAGUAAUUUGCAACAGGAAGGAGCUGCUGCAUGGAUUUAUACCAAAAUGGCAUCUAAUUUAUUGGGUUCUCCAUUGUUUAUUCAUCUGAUCUCUUAGUCAAUCACUUAAUUAACCUCAAUAUUUAUGUCCGUUCUGUUAAGUAUUGUAUUGGACGAUUCUCUGCGAUAUAGAGUUGUGUGCCGGCUGCGUGCAUGCCGAAAAUUGUACCAUAUCAUAACUUACUUGUAUUUUAUAUGUGUCAGAAUCCGGGAGCUGUUUUUUUCUUUUGUUUGCUUUUCAAAUGUCGUUAACUUAUAGAUUUUGGUCUUCAAUUUUGUGUAACGAAUAACUAAGUGGGCGUUAAGAACUAAAGGUGGCCCCCGACAGAAGAUAAGGUGCUUAGGAUUCUCUCUUUUUCUUAAAGCAAAUUCUUCAUUUUGAAGUUGGCAUCCAAUGCUUCUUUGAUUAUCUGUAUGCAUGAGUGCAUGCAUGCAUGUGGAUGUAAUAUAUGGAACAAUUAAUGGAGUCUAAAGUUCAUCCUGCCUCAAAAAAUAUAUAUUAGCAGAGAAUCAAGCUCUCAAAGAAUAUAUACCCAAAACAACCAAAAAAAGCAAAAAAGGAAGAAGAAAACUUGGGAUCUAUAAUUACUCACUGAACCGCUACUGUUGCAAAGUACCUCAAAAAAAGAGAGGAUGUUGGGGGGGGGGGGGAAGGUGGGGGGAUGUGAAAGCUACACCUGCAAAAUUUCAGUGGUGAAGAAAAUAACUCCAAACAACACCAAUCCUAUUCACGCCUUAACCUUGACGUCCAGUGCAAAAAUAUCUUUGACGACUUGGGCUUUGUCAGCCUGCAAUUGUGGAUCCCCAUUAUUGUCAAUCUUCAAUUCUGCAAAGAGGAGCUGUAGAAGCUUAGUUCUGUUUGCCACGAGAAUCCCAACAAUCUCUGGGGUCUUGUUUUCAUUGGCAGCAAACAACUUGAAAACUCGAAGCGCAUCAACUUGAAUGUUCUUGCUGGAGUCCCUGAGAAGAUUCAUAAAAAUCCUCAAAUUGUCCCUCGAACUAACAUAUUGCAGCAUGACAUCUGAAUUUGAGCGAUGCAUCAGCAUCUCUCCCAGCAACUUCACGGCUUCCCUUCUGGUAAGGUAAUUCGGAGAUUGAAGCAACUUAGAGUUGUAUUCCACAAAAAACCAAUCAUAAUUUUUGGACAGGAACUCGGCCACAGUUGAUUUAUGCCUCGUUAACAAUUGCUUAAAAGUUUCCGUAGCGUCAGCAGCAACUUCAAAACGUGCAACUUGUACAUAAUCGAAAAAUUUCUUCAUCAUUAGCUUCGAUUCCAAGACAUGCCUUGCAAGAUCUUGAUGGCGUAUGCAAUCCCUUAGCAUAGAACCAUAAUGCAAAGCCGUGAUCUCCAUACCAUUAUUCUCAUAACCACCAACCAAAACAUCGAUUAAGUUGAGAUUUUGUUCCAAAUAAUCACAAGCAAUAAACCUCGAACGGACCUUUUGCCUAAGAAAAUUUGAAACCAGUAGCGUAGCAUCCUUGCGGGUCUCCAGUUUCAACUUUGGAAGACAAAUAAUUAGAAGGCGCAAGGUAUCUUCCCUGAAGAACUCCUCGGUCAAUUGCGCACAAGCUGAUGCUACGGGUUGAGUAUCACUAUCUCCAUAAAGAAUGAACUUCAAAUCUUCCAAUAGCUUGCCGAUGGUAUUUAUCAUAUUUACUUGGCGUUUGUUUUGGCUUUGGCUUUGGAAAGUGUUUGGCGCAGAAUUGACAUGGCUGAGGAGAUCACGAGUCUGUCGAACUAGGUCAGCAGGGGUAGCCUUAGGUUUCGACUUAAAGAACAAAACACCCUUCAUAAUCUUUUUCAGGCUUUUUCUCGUCCAACUCCUAAUGUAAAAGAUAACUCAUACGUACCCUGAAUAUGAGAAUCUCCUUGGCAGUUGGCACUACCGCAAGGGCAGAGGACGCUCAACGCGGCGGCGCUGCUGCUUUCUCCAACUGGCCAAUUGCAAUGUCCUACUCCUGCUUAUUUACCCUUCUAACUACUCGUAUUUGUAGUUUGCAAUUGUGAAAAUUUUAGAAUACGAUUCCAAUUCAAUUUCUGUUGUCGUAAAGAACUAAAGCAAGUUCAAGAAAAACAUUCUUGGAAACGGAGACGUAACUGGUAAUUAGUAUUGCCAAGUUAAAUACUAUAUACAUAGGGGAGGAUUGUUAUGGUUUUUCCGAUUAGGUUUCUGAUCUUGAUAAGUAAGGAUAAGAAGGAAGUGAGGAGGGGUGAGAGGGUUAAAAAAAAAAAAAGAUAAAUACAUACAGGAUUUGGAUUGAAUUCUAAAUUAAAUCCAACUGCCAAAGUCAAAUUUACACUACGAAUCAACAGGUAGAUGAAGAUAAGUAUAAAACAUGCAUCAUUAUACGUUACGUUCUCUAAAAGGAAAAACACAAGAUCUUAUAGUAUUUUGGAUUGAACCAAUGUAGCAAUUAAGCAGGAAGAACGAGGGCCUAUUACUUCUGCAGCAGGAAGGGAAGCAUCAAAGCCAUAUAAACCCGCUAACUAAACUGCAUUAAUUUUACAAGCCCCAUAUACGAAGGAAGAGUUUGGAAACAGGAAUUGGACAACUACUCAAAUUCUUGUAUCUUGUGCUCGGCUCUCAUUCCUUCCCUUGGAGCCGGGAGGCCAUAUCUUUGGCAUUCCAACUUCCUCUCCAUGUGCUCUUUAAGGACCUUAACGACCAACCCGAAGGACAAAAACACCACACACGCACGACCAAAAACCUACUAUAUAUAAUUUGCAGCUAAUUUGAAAGUUCAUAGCAUAUCUUAAAUGCAUUGCUGCAGAUAGAUAGGUAAAUGAUUCAUUUGCUUCUAUUUUCUAGUCUAGAGAAGAGAAAAGUUUUGAAUUCAAUUUUUACUCUGACCUAGCUAGCAGGUAGGAAACUUUUGGUAAUUAAACACAAUUGCUUGUAUUCAUUGCUAGCCAAUAAAAAGUGCUGAAAGUUACUAUGCAUGGCUAACUCCGACAUUUUCUUGUUCUUGUUACAAUUUGACGAUUAGCCAGUUUCGAAAGUAGUUCUGACUAAGGUUGAACUCAAGGUGAUAUCAGUUACAACUAUGAGAGUUGAAUAAAUUAGUUAAUAAAAAAUUAAGCAAAUCUCCGUCUUGACUAACACUAACUAUUGUUUUCUGCUUUAAAUUGGGGUGGGUCGAAGCUGAAACUGGCUGUCAGACACAUAUCAAUCUUCGAUCUGAAUAUAAAAGAGCUGCAAUUAGCCAAUUACCAAGUCUGCAGUCCAUUAUAACGCAAUCCCUCCAUCUUAGGGUAGUUUCUUGAUUUUCUCCAUCUCAUCAUAAUACGAACAACGACCUAAUUGAAAAUGGUCUCACAAUUAAACAUUUUAUAUACUUGUACUUUUCUAGUGAGUAAGCUUUCACAUUUUUUAUACUUAAUUUAUCAUAUGAACGUAAGCAUUCACAUUUUUUUUUAGGACAAAAAACCUGAGCGGCCACUAAACUAUUGGUCAGAUCAUGUUUUGGCCAUCAAACUAUUUUUCGUCAAUAAUUGGCCACUAAACAACUUAAUCAGUAAAUCCGUGACCAUUUAGUCAAUAAUUGCUCUUAAUCUAUGAAAUUAGCAGUACACGUUGCAAAGCACAGGGGUAAUUUUGUCUAACAACUACGCGACUCUAUUUCACAGAUUAACUGUUAAUUUCAUAAAUUAAGAGUAACUAUCAACUAAAUGGUCAUGAGUUUACUGAUUAAGUUGUUUAGUGGCCAAUUACUGACGAAAAAUAGUUUGAUGGCCAAAAUAUGAUCCGAUCAAUAGUUUAGUGGCCGCUGAGAUUUUUUACCCUUUUUUUUUUAUUAAAACGAUAACAUUCUUAUAAUUUAAUCUAUCAUAAUUUAGGGAGAGGGAAAGUCGAUGGGAAUAGAAAUUCUAUCGAAGGAAACCACUGAAAGCAGUCACAUAUAGUGGUAAUUUGGUGAGAGGCAAGAGUUGGAUUCUUGACCUCCCAGCACCACCAAAAUUACCAAAAUUUAAAUACUUGGCAGUGACCACAAGGCCGAAGGACUGGUUCUCCGAAUUACAUGAUAAUCCUUUUUUCCCCAGGAAUUGAUUUGAGGGUAACUGCUUUUACUGUAUCGGCUAUCGGUAAGCGGUGAGUCCGAAGAAGAAGCUCAUGCAGUCCGUUGGGCUGUCGCUCUACGACAAUCUGGAGAUGCUUAAACAGAGCAAUUUGAAGGCCAUCUAGGCCACCUUCUUGAUCAAGUUUCUUGGAUUAUCGUACACAACGAUUCAGAAUUAAAUGACUUUUGGCCCAUGGGAAGUUGUCACUUAUCAUUCCUGUGACAACAACAUAAGUUUGCUUGGUGUCAUUAAUACGGCCCACCACAAACAUUAGCUUUAAUAAAUCGAAGGUUGCGAAAGAAAGGCGAAAUCCAUUGCCCAUAAAAGACAUGCCAGAGUUUAUAAUAAGUAAUAACGUGUCCUGUGGCCCCUCUACUGUCUACGAUCAAGAUGUUACUACUUUUUGGUUGGUCUUCCCAAUUGAUGGAAUAUCUUUUCUGGCGAAAUCAUUUAUGCAUCUGGUGCCUUACGAAUUAAACAACUUUGUUUGAAGUCUCAAGAUCUGUGGGUUGGCAAUGGCGUUAUGCCACCAUACAUCCCUUUCAAAUCUUAUUCAUACAUGGCGUAGAGUAUCAGUACUCAAUGAAGCACUAAAGUAGUUCUUCUUCCACUUGUGUGUGCAUCAAUAAUGUUUCGUUAUACACACACACACAUAUAUAUGUAUAUAUGGAUACACAUUUGUACAUAGAAUAAGAUAUCCCAUGAACCAAUUUAAGACAUCACCUACUAAAAAAUUAAAUAUUUUAAAACAUAAAUAAAUUUUAAAAUUAUAAAUUCAAACAAAUAAAUUCAUUUCAAUCGUACCUACUAGGAGAAAAAUCUUAAAUCCUACACAAACCACAAUCAUAUUCUAUAAUUAAACAAAAUGCAUUGAAACUCUUGAAAUUAAACAAACUCUAGUAGAACUACAAAAGAAAAUGGCGAUCUUUGAGUCUGAAGGUGAGAAAUAGAAGGAGUUUGAUUACUCUUUUAGAAAUUAGGGUUUCGAAGAAAAGAUUCGAUAGAUAAGUUUAAUGUUUAAAACUUUAGGUUCAUUUAAAACAAAAAGAUGGAAAAAAUGAAAAAUCGUGGUUCACGGAUCAAUUCGAGUUAAACAGUUUGAUCGAUUUUUAGCAAUUUUGAUCGAUUUUUUAUAAUAAGUCAACACUAGUAGUGAACUGAAUCGAAAGCUUGAGCAAUUCUUAGUCCCAUCGGUCAAUUCGGUCUGAUUUUCAAAACAUUGGUAUGUAUAUGCAAGACGUGGAAGUUAUUCUCCUUUGUUUUAACCUUUUUCAAAUCAUUAAAAAUUAGUCCUGAAAAUAUAUAGAACAUUAAGAGCGUAUUUAAUCAUUAAUUACUAGGAAAAAUGUUGAAGAAAAUACCGGAAAAAAAAAAACUAGUUUCUAGCUUCUACAAAGCCAAGACGGAUUAAAUUGGACAGCAAGUAGUAUGGUGGUACGUGUACCUUAGAAAACAAAAAACACGCGCAGACACCCCAUAUGGUAUAUGGUGGUGGUCCUAAUGUUUUCGACAUUCGACUAGAUGGCAAUUACCUUAAUAAGAUAUCCAUAAUGGUGGUCCUAAUCCUCAGUAACUGCGCGUAUACCAAAUUAAGAGUGCUAAUAAUCAUUUGUGACCCCGAAAUCUUUAACCGCAUAUGCUGCUUCUGGUGUCUAUUUAUUAACAGCAUGACCUUUUUUUUUAAUUAUUUUGCUCAAGAAUAUCGGGAAGUGAUUCAAAUGCUCCACCAGUGCCUUCAGUCCAACAAUUUUUUGGUUUGCGAGUUCAGUGAGAAAAGCAAAAAGAAAAUUAAAAUGCUGAAGUUAGGAAAGAAGAGCAGCACUUUCAGGCCUUUAAAUGCUCAUCCUCAAUCUCUCUCAUUUCUCUCUGCUUUUUGAGAGAGAGUUUUCUUAGAUUUUCAUCUCUAUAUUUUUCUCAAUUUUUAUUCACUUAAAACUCUCAAAUGAGGGAAAUGUGCUAAUUUCUCUAAUUUUGUCUCGUCUUCUCUUCAUCUCCUUCCUUCCAAACAAAGUGCUUUGUAAAUAACCAAAUAAAAAAUACGAUAAAAAGCAAAAAGGGAUGCCAAACCCUCGCACGUAUUUAUAUUAAGAGCUAGGGAGCUAAUUUUAGCACUUCCAUACUUGUAAUUGCCACUUCUGUUGAUUCUAGUAUUCGUGUAAAAUAAUUAUUUUUUUUUUAUAUUUACAUUCCACCCAACUUACCUUAGCAUUGCACAUAUUUAUAUUUGUUAUAUUCCCUGUAUUUAGAUUUUUUUUUUAUAUUAACUACAUUGUUGAAAACAAAAACAAAAAAAAAAAUCAUUUGAACAACAACAUAAGAGGAAAAAGUAAUUGUGUGCGGAUGUGUUUUUUGUAAUUGAAAGAUCGGGGAUAUUCUUCUUUUUAUUACAUCUGAUAAAAGUCUUUUUUUCUUUUUAAUUUUUUGAAGAGCCGUAUUUAACCAACAUAGGAAUACCAAAAUAUCAAAUUUCAUUAAAAUGGAUUAUUAUUUUGAAUAGAAGUCAAGGAGAAGUAAAACUAAAAGUGAUAUAAUAAGUCUCAGAACUAGAUGGAUAAUAAGAAUUUUAUUUUCUCCACUAAAGUAUAGCUAACUUCAUUGGUAUUUCACCUAGUUCAAAUCAGGGAAAACAGAAGAGAAGGAGCGGGAGUUAGGAAUGGUGCGCCAUGAGCAGGUGGAGUUUUUUGGAAAAUUUGGGUUGAAGGCUUAAUUUGUUGGGUUCUUUUUUCUGACUAGUUUGCUGGGUUUAAUGGUUUGGUGUAUUGUCUUUUGUCCACAUUUUUGUUGGUUUUUAAUACCCUCAUAUUUGCAUUGGAGAUAGUUAAGUAUGAUUGAUUUUAUAGUCUUUUUUGCUUAUUGAAUUCUAAUAGCAUAUAUUGAACAUUUAAAUACAAAAAAGCAUGCGGUGCUAAACGGUAGUUAGCGAUAGCGUGCGAUGUUGUGUGUGCAUUUUAAGCGUUGGAUUGAAACUAAGCGUGCAUUUGCAUUUGCAGAGAGGGUUAACCAUUGGUUAGUUUAAUUCUCAUCACAUUGAACUUAUCCAGUAGACAAUUAAUUUUAAAACUAUGUCAAAUAGAAUUAUGCUCUUAAUAAUUUAGUAAUCUCAUAUAUCUGUUUGAUUGAUGUAGCUUUUGACUGCACGUAGUUUUUGGUUAGUAAUUUUAUUUUAGAAAUUGUACAAUUAGAUUGGGUACAUGUCUCUCUAUAAAGUUUUGCUCUUCUCUUUCUUUUGGAAUUGUGUGUGUGUAUAUAUGUAUGUAUAUAUUAGAGGUAUUCUAUAUCGUAUUAGUAAAAGAUAGUGGCUUACUGAUUACUGAAUACUAUUUCAUUACAUUUCAUAAAUUACAUCCAAAUCAUUAACCAUCAAACACAUUCCAGCCGCAACGUGAGCCCCCUCAAACUAUUCCAUCAAUCGAGCCAGACAACGCGAACUUCAAUUUUCGUGCUCCUCCUUGUUGUAAAUCCCAAACUUCAAUUUUCGUACUCGUCCUUGGUGUAAAUCCCAAUCAAACGAGUUACAUUACAUCUCUUGCUAACGUAUUAUUCACAUCACAGAUUCGCAAUUGCGUUUUUGACUUUAGUCAUCGAUUUUUUUUUUAAUUUUUUUUUUGGAGUCCACAAAUUCAGUGUACCAGAAACCAACAAUAAAGAGCCAAAAGAAAAAAAAGAGAGAGAAACCAACAAUAAAUUAUGAAGUACUCCCUCUGUCCUACUUUGAUAGUUCUGUUUCUUUUUUCGCACAGGUUAAAAAAAAGUAAAUUUAGAUUGCUAUUUUUUUAAAAUACUCUCAUAUUAAAUAUGGUACAACUUUAUGAAAACUUGAAUUGAUGGUAAAAAAAGAAUUAAUUCUCAUUAAAUGGGAUAGGUUUAUAGUAACAACUACUUACAUUGAAUAAGGGUAUUUUAAGAAAAUUAAAAUAUAACUACAUUCUUCAAUUGAAAAGUGGACUGUAAUUUGAGACAGAUGAAAAAAGAAUACAAGACUAUCAAAGUGGGACGGAAGGAGUACACAGAAGAGUCACCAAACUAGUAAUAAUUGUUGGACGAUAAAGUUUAUAAAAGUGGACUUUCCUUUUAGAUAGUAGAAGAAGAUACUGCCAUAUACCAUCUCAAUAAAAAAUACGGAUAAAGGAAAAGGUGUAGGAUUAGCUACAGAGUAUAACAUAUCAUCAAAAGUUGAAGAUUGGUUGCUAGUUAUCAUUUCGCAAAGACCAAAAGCAGUCCAAUCCACCAUCAACGCCGCUUCAACCACUCCUCCUCCUCCUCAUCCAUGGAAGAAAAAGAGAAAAAGAAGAACAAGAAACCAAAACACCAGCACCCGAAUGAUCAAACCUCCAAAUCCACCACCUCAUCAGACCUUGCUGCAUUCAAGCCUAGCUCUGAAGUUAAAGGGCUUCGGUUUGGUGGCCAGUUUAUUGUUAAAUCCUUCACAAUCCGGCGCGCUAGGCCUCUUGAAUUCUUGCGCCUCCUCUCACUUCCACCGACACUCAACCUCAACCACCAACAAAACCAAGAAAAGACAAACGGGAAGCAGCCUUUUCCUUCAACUACCGCAUUCUUGCCGACAAAUUUCACGAUCUUGGCUCACCAUGCAUGGCACACUCUGACGCUUGGCCUUGGGACAAAGAAGUCUAAAGUGGUUGUUUUUGUAUUCGAGUCUGAGAAUAUGAAGGCUGCUGUGGACAGAGUUUGGCCGCCAGAAAUCCCACUCGGUGAAGUAAACAAGAAGCUUAUAAGGGGUCAGACCGGAUGCGAAAUGGCUAGAUUUAAAUUCAGGAAAGGUGCCAUUACAUUUUAUGUUUAUGCAGUGAGGAGAAUUGGGAACAUGGGUUUUUCAUUUGCGGAUGAUCUGAGGACAAUACUGCAAUCUGUGGUUGCACUCAAUGAUUUCUUGGAUCAUACCGCUAUGCUUGCCUUGCCUAAUCAGAGAAGCAUCAAUUAUUCACCUCCUGUUGCCAUGGUUCACUAGGCAUGUUUCUUUCCAUGAUCUUUUCUUUAUCCGUUCCUCUGAAGACUACCAUCCUUUGUUGUCUUUCUUCUUCUUCUUCUUCUUUUCAUGCUUUUAUUGGAAAAAUACUAGUUUUAUAUCUUCGGGGUGGGCGGGAAUUGAUUAAUUUUUUGGGGGAUUUUAGUUUUCUGUAUCUUUCUUGACUGUAAACUAGCAGAAUAAAUUGCAGGUUUUAGAGGUGAACUAAAGACUUUGUAGUUACUUUUUCCUUUUCUCGUGGGCUAGAAGAAUUUUUGUACUUGUGAACCUGCCAUAUCUAUAAACAAUGUUCAUAAGUCCACGUUCCUGCUAAGAGAUGCGUGAUUAGACCUGCAUAAAUUGCGAGUGGAUCAGUUUCUUCAGAUCUCAACAAAUUCACUUCUUUCGAAUUUUUUCCCUUUGAGCAAGCUCAUGAGAUCAAUGCCAAUCUUUUGCAAAAGAAAAUAAAAAAAAAAAAAAGAACUGCCAAUUAAGUUGGUGACCAAAGCUGAUGAAUGAUGUGCAGACUAUACUAUAGGACGCUUGUUGUUGUGUAGUCUCAAGUACUUGGAAUUUAAUCGACCAGGGGCCUUACUUGCUCUGAAAUUAAUGUCAAGUAUUGAUUAGGUGCAGAAUGCAACAAAAGCUACCAAAAAAUCGUGGGGCCAAUAAUCUAAUUAACAAGUAGUGUAUGCAAGAAACUACAAAUUUUUGUGUUGGAACGGUUCAAUUUUCUAAUCAUAAGCAUCAAUUUUCAGUGUACUUCAUAUCUUGAGCAUAUGCUUCUGUUUUAGCAGAGGCAAUCAUCGGACAACAGCAGAAAUGUUUGUGGCAUCAAGUUGGUACUUAGCGUUCAUAGUUAAUUAAGAGAUAGUUCUCAUAAACUUGAUAUAGUGUAUAUCUUAUGGUGUUUGCAUCCAUUGGGAGCAUGGAUUCAUGCAAACAGAAAAAAAUAAUAAUCUAGUCAUUUCAUUCAAUCCUGCGUCAGUCUGAAUAUUGUCCGACAAUGAACACUGUUUUUUUCGUGACUCGAGCAGAGAUCUACCCGUGAAAUGAAAGCCAAAGGCUGAAGUCACAACCCGGUAAAAUUAAUCACUAGACAACAAGUUUUCAGUGUUUAAUAUAGUACUAGUAUUUACUUCUUUACUACUUCAACUGGAAUAACUGCAUUAGGUUAGUAAACGCUUCUCGAAAAGUUAAAAAAGUUCACCUUUUAAGAAGGUGAGAAUCUGCUGUCAACAGUUUCAAGUGGGCGUCGAGUUAGUGGAUGGAGGUAGCUUAAUAGUCCACUAAUUAUGUAAUUUAACCGCAACAUUGCUCUCUUAAUUCUGCUACUUACAUUGCCAAUUAGGCGUGCCAUCCUUUGCUCGACCAAACUAGUUGUUGUUAUGUUUGAAAACAAUUACUGCAACUGAAAUAUUUCCUUCAUUUUUUUCCAAAAAAAAAAAAAACUUUUUAAAAGAAAAAUGUUGUGAAAAACCUUAACAAAGUUAUUGCAAAAAGUGACAGAUCAACAUGGCCAGUAGUCUUCUUCUAGCCAAAAGGGGUUGAACUUGUUAACCUUACGGUGAUUUUGAAGGCAGCAUAAAAUUAGGCAACACGGGAUGAAUGUAUGUUUACGUUACAUGAAUGAUAGCCUCAAGUGCGAAAGGUCAGGAUGUGAUGAUGGGAGAAAGUUAAAGAAUAUGCAGUGUGUACUGUGUACUGUGGAGGGCCGACCAUGGGGGCAUGCAGGAUGCUCGCCCAUGAAUAUUUGCCACUGGCCUUCUUGGAAGGCUUUUAUUUAUGGUCUCUGUUAAAGGUUGGAGAGAAAAGAAGAAGCUUCUUUCGUUUGCAUGUUCCCCCUCUUUACUUUAAUCAUUCGGUUUGUGAAGGCCCAUCUCAUCUCUCCAUCAGCUUUCUUGAUCACAUGAAUUGAGGUGGUCUUUUUUUCUCCCUUGCCGUAGGGAUAAUUUCAGAAACCUCCCUAAGGUUACUGAUAAUUUCAUUGAGCUCUCAUGAGAUUUGAAAAAUUACACAUACCUUUUUUGUUAUUUAAAAUGAUAAUUUUACCUUUAAAUAUUUUAUUGAAAUUCCCUUAUUUGGUAUACUUAUACUUAGAAUGAGUUUUAAAAUUAUUUUUUCAUUCUUUUUCCUCUUUAUUCCUUUUUUUUUAAUUUUUCACCAAUAAAACUGUAGAACUUCCACUAUUGCUUCUAUUUUCUAUUGUAAUCAAAUGUCAAACAAAUGAUUUUUUUGACAAGUUAAUUUUAUAUGUUAUUUAAUAUUUCUGCUGAUCUUUGUUUUCUAUUUUUUGGUACUAAAAUUAACAAUAAAUAAAAAAAAAUGGCCCAAAAUCACCACUAAAUUAUUAAUAAUCCCAUUACCCAAAAAAUUCAUAAACUCUAAAUGAAUUGUUUCAACAUUUUCUUUUCUAUCUUAUAAAUCUAAAUUCAUAAUAAAGUACCAUCAAAAGUAUCCUAUCAUAGUAAUAGAAUUAUUAUUAUAGUUGUUUAUCAAAUAGUAGGUAUGGAUAUGAAAAUUUAGCAUCUUUUCCUUAUAAUUAUACUAGAUAAUCUUAUAAUUGUAUAGGAAAAUAAAUUAAAACUCAUUACACAGGGGCAUUUUUCGAUAUUCAUUUAAAAAUUUGACCAAAUCAAUGUUAUUUUAAGAUUUUGUUACUAAACUAUCAAAUUAAGAGAGGUAAGUGUAAUUUUUCAAAGCUCGGGGGAGCUCAGUGAAAUUAUUAGAAACCUCAGGAGGAAUUUCUGAAAUUAUCCCUUUGCCAUAUUGCCAUGGCUUUCAAUUAACAUAAGGGAAAAUCGUUCAAAACGUUCCUCACAUUUUACAAGAUGACUUUUUUCGUCUCUCAUUUUUAAAAGUGUAAUUUUACGUCCCUUACAAAUUCACAUUGACCAAAUUUAGUCCCUACCUAGGUUUCCAACUAGUUUUUGGUCGGAAUCCACCAUGUGACUUGCAUGUGAUUAUUUUUUAAGGGCAAAAUUGUCAAAUCAAAUUUUUACAUAAUCUGAUUCAUAGUCCCUCACAUUUCACAAAAUGAAUUUUUCAUCCCUAACAUUUUACAAAAUGAGUUGUUUCGUUCCUCACAUUUGAAAAAAUGAAUUUUUCCAUCUCUCAUAUUUUUCAAAAUGAAUUUUUUCAACCCUCAUUGAUCAUGUAUACGAAUAGCUUUUUUUUCUAUAAAUCCACGUAUAUGUCUAUUUGAUUUUACCUGAACAGUAUAAAUAACAUGUAAUUUAUCUCUAUUGAAUUUCAUCUAAACAUGUUAAUCGUAGUUAUACACAUGUUAUUCAAUAGAUAAAUAAAGAUGUUUAAAACUAAUAAUUUUGUUUGAAACCCAUGUAUAUAUUUAUAUGAUUUUACCAUUUAAACCUAUUCAAUAUUUGUGACAUUUCUCUUUUGGUAAUAAUUUAUUUAUUGAGUUGUAUCAUAAGGUCAUCUAAUUAAUGGGUCCUAACUCGAAUUCUACAAUUGUGCUAACAAAUUUCAGUUUAAAUCUGAAAUUUCUACUCGACACUUUUAAGACUAACGGUUGAAUUAUUUGCCUUGUGAUUUUGUUAAAAUUUGAAAGUGCCAAUCACUUAUUUCUUUUUGUCAUACUUUUCUUUUGUUUACUUUUUCUAUCCAAAUUUAAUUUGAUAUAAACACUUGAUAAUAUUUAAGGAUUAAAUGCCUUCUUUAUUUUCAAAUUUUGAGUAAAAGAAAAUGAGUAUAAGUGAAAAACUAAUAAUUUUUUAAACCAAUGUAUAUAUCUAUUUGAUUUCACUUGAACAGUACAAAUAGCAUGUGAAAUCAAAUAGAGAUAUAUUACACACUAUUCGUAUUGCUCAAGUGAAAUCAAAUAAAUAUAUAUAUAUUUUUUAAAAAAUUUAUUCACACACAUGAUCAAUAAAACAUAAAAAAAAUUCAUUUUGAGAAAUGUGAAGGAUGAAAAAAUUCAUUUUGUGAAAUGUAAGGGACGAAAAAAAUUUAUUUUAUGAAAUGUGAGAGACUAUGAAUCGAAUUAUAUAAAAUUUGAUAUGACAAAUUUGCCAUUAAAAUAUGAUUACGUACAAGGCACGUGGUGAAUUCUGACAAAAAACUAGUCGGAAACCUAGGUAGGGACCAAAUUUUACCAAUGUGAAUUUGUAAGGAACGUAAAAUUACAUUUUUAAAAGCGAGGGAUGAAAAAAGUUAUUUUGUAAAAUGUAAGGGACGUUUUGAACGAUUUUCCCUUAACAUAAUUGUGAAAAUGGUGAAAGUUGAGUUGUGUUCGACGAUGCUUCUUUGGUGUUGGGGACCUGGGAUCUCGGCCUUGCAACUUGCCACCCCUGCUUCCUUAUUUCUUUUGAAUUUUUCCCUCCAUCACCCUGCCUAAGUCCUAUCUAAGGGUGUAAAUAAGUCGAAUCGAAGUCGAGUUUUGACUUAAUCGAGCUGAGUCUCUUAUUUAAUUUUAUGAAAUUCAAACUCGACAAACUCAAAAUAUCAAACUCGAGCUCGAGUUCGACUCAAAUUCUAGUCGAGCUCAAGCUUAAAAAAUAAAAAAUAAUAAUAAUUGUUUUUAUUUUAAAAAAUAAAAAUAAUUAUUUUAUUUUAAAAAAUAAAUAAAAUAAUAAUUUUUUUAACAAAUAAUAAAAUAUUAUGGACGUAUAUGUAAUUUUACUAUUAAAAUAAAAAAAUAAAAAUAUACACAAUUGACAUCGCGAGCCAACGAAUUUAAUGUUUUUGAACUCGAGCUCGAGUUGAGCUCACGAGCGGCUCAAUUCGUGUACAGCUCUAAUCCUAUCCAACAAAUCCAAGUAAAACGAACACUACUGAUUUUAAUCCUUUCUUGACAGACGGUGCCUGCAAAUCCAAUUAUCAGUUAAUCACAACAAAUUUUUUACAUGAAUCCACUUUACAAUCUUAUACAUUGUUAAAGGAAAAAAAAAACUUAUUGGACUGCAUAUACAAACAUUCGAGUGCACAUAAAUAUUUGAACCCACCACCAUAUUCAUGUCUUUCUAAAAAUUCCCUUUCAUUAAACAGGACCUUCACGUGUCUACCGUGCAAAGCACCGAUUAAGCAUUCAGCAUGUCCCUCUACGUGAAACCAAUUAUUACACAAUUCGUUUUGCGUGAUCGAAUAAAUAUGCAGGUGGCCUAAUUAAGAUUAACAGUGGUCAGUUGCUUCGAAUCUUUUAAUGAUUUUUGCAAUUAAUUUCUGGACUUAAUGACCUAAAACAGAAUUGAAGUAACGAGUUACGUUUACUUUAAUAUUAUACAAAAUCUUUUUCCUUUAUUUUUCCCUGAAGCAACUGGGAUUGGGAGAAAUAUCUCUGAUUGGCUUUGUGGAGUUGUUUUCAAGAAUAUUUCUAAGAAUCCGUUUGGAUUAUCUAUUUUUGGAUAUGUUUUUAAAAUUUUUAACUGUAACAGAGUUUUUACUUUUUAGAGUAUAUAUUGGGAUAUUUAAGAGUAGUAGAGUUUUUUGAAUAUAUUUUGAAAUAUUUUUUAAACAUUAAAAAAUUUUAGAGUACCUUUUAGAGCACUUUUGGAUUACCAGUUUUUGGGGGUGUUUUUGAAAAAUUUUACUGUAGCAGUGUAUAUGAAAUUUUUUUUGAAAUAUUUAAUAUAUUAUAUGGAUGAAAUGUUUUUUGAAUUAUUGUGUAUUAUUAUAGUAUUGUAUUUCAAAAGCUUGUUUGUUAAAAAAGGCCAAUUCAAACGGAGUUUAGUAUUUGAAAAACUGAUAGAUUCCAACAGAGCAAUUAAAAAAAAUGAAGAAAAUUAAAGAGUUUCUGUAGCAAGCCCAGAUGGCAUUGUUGGGCCGACAUGAGAAGAGGACACAAGUGAAGCAAAUCACUUUUGGACCAAGCAAUGGAAUCCUUUUCACUUUUGGAGUAAGCAACAGAUUGGACUCAUCCUGCAAGGUCCAAUAUCCAUCAGACUGUGGGACUGUGGACGUAAUGAGUAAAUACUAAAUAACUAAGAUUACAUCAUCGUUUCAAAUUUUCCGGGAAAACAAAAUGGAUGAAGAAAACAAAGAAUACACACGCCCACCGUGGGGCUCGAACCCACGACCACAAGGUUAAGAGCCUUGCGCUCUACCGACUGAGCUAGACGGGCUUGUUGGGAAGGUUUGACCUCCAUUUUAAUUUAGUUCAAUGUAAAUAAAAUUCUAAGGGAUUGGAUUUGGGGCUAACUGCUAAGCCGCAGUCUUCUGCACGGUUUUCCAUCAAAUUGGUCGAUGCGUCGAAACUGCCCAAACAGAGGAAGGAAAAUAAGAUGGGAGGAGCUGUGAUCUGGACGGCGUUCGAGGUGCUUUUGAUUGUAGCAAUAAUGUUAGCAUUUGGAGUAGUUUCUGCUAUGGUCUUGGAAACUUUCCGGAGAAGAUUCAAUCACAAGUAUAGUAUUUGCUCUUUUAUCUUUUGGUUUUUUCUUCUAUACUUCGUCUACCUUUUCCUACCAAGACCUGCGGUGAAUUCGACUUUAAUGUUUCUUAUUCUAAUUCUCCGAUCUUUCUACAGUUAUUCUUUUUUUUUUUUCUGUGGUUGCAUUAAUUUGUGAGCAUGUUAUAUUGCUGUUCGCAGCCACGUUGAAGCUCCUCCUGUUUUCGAGGAUCCUAAUUCGUUGAACCAGGUAAUUUCGAACACACAAAGAUCUCUUGUUCUCUAGGGGAAAGUUACAUUUUAAUGCAAUUUUAUACGGAAAUAGAAGGCUUUUGCAUUAGUUCUUAACUAGGGAGUUGGAUGCUUCUAGCAUGCUACAACUGACUAUCAAUAUAUGGAAACUAUUUAUCAUGACGACUUUAUAAAGUAGAGAGAACUCAUCUGCAACUUAUAGUUCAAUUGUUGUGUCUGUCUCUUCUACUCUUUCCCUUUCCGUUAAUUUCCUGUUGAACUCUAGGAACAUGUUUCAAUUCCUCAGGAUGCAAUUCUGCCGCUAAUUGGGGAGAUUGAUUUGGAGCCAAAGGAAUACUGGUUUAGGGGUCAACAUUACAAUUAUUAUUAUUUUUUUGGGGGUUUGGGGGAUAAGUGAUCAACAUUACGAGCUGAUAGUGGUGUAGUUGUAACUUAAUGAGUCAUAUCUAUGUUCAGUAAAUUGACUAUUAUAUGUCUUCCCUUCCAGGUUCCUUGUCCUCAUAUUUUUGAUUCCGCUGAGAAGUACAUAUCUUUGAUUGUUCCCGCUUACAAUGAAGAAAAUAGGCUUGCUGGAACUCUUGAUGAAACCUUAAAGUGAGCUGAGGCUUAGCAAAUUUUAUUUUACUUGUUCUCUCUCUCUCUCUCUCUCUCUUCCAUUUCUAAUUCCAGUAUUCAUUUUGAGAUAAUUUUUUCUAGUAUUUUGUAUCUUCAAUGGAUGGUAUUUUUGAUUAGUUAUUGGGAAUAUGAAUUGAUCUGAUAUGCAUCAUAACUUUGAUCCUUUUGCUAGUUAUCUUCAACAGCGUGCGGCAAAGGACAAGUCUUUCACAUAUGAGGUAAAAUUAUAGAACUUGUCUGUUUUCUGCAUUUAAAUGUAUGAAGUUGAUUGAUUUUAUCAGCUUCUGCAUCUCAAAAAGACUUGUAGGUAAAACUGUAUAAACAAUAGGUUUCAUCUAUAAAAGGUAACUUAAAUCUUGUGAAGACAAGGGCAGAUAGUGGAACUGCUGCUGUUGCAGAGUGGAGGAGUAUAGUGAAAGAAGUUUUUUUGAGCACCCAGUUGUGAUGUGGUUAUGUGUUUUGCUACUUUCUGAAAGGUUGCUUCUUGUAGUGGUGAAUAAGCUAUCAUCAUUUUAUGUUUUUCUUGAUGAAAGAAAUGUACAAAUAGAACCUUACUGCUCUGCUAAUUUGGAUUAGUGAUUCAAAAACAGCUAUUACAGUUGUAAUUGCAACAAAUUUUGCCAACAGUUAUGCUUUUUACAAAGAUAAUUUUUAAGAAAACCUGUGUUAGUUAUUGAGUAUGACUGAGGAGUUAUUCUAGACUGCCAAAUCUGAAGGGAAAUUGAAGCUGUCAGUCUGCUUUACCAAAUCGUUCCACUUUCAAGUGUCUUUUGAAUAUGAUUUUUACAGUACCUACCAAACAAAGUGAACUCAAGAGCAGCAGUGUUCAAUUGUGGAUUGGCUUUCCUGUGGUGGAUGUUGAUGUUAAAUGGAUUUCAAUUAGCAGAGAUUUGCAUGUUCCUUUUGCUGACUAAGGGCCUGUAGUUGAGUCAAAAGUGAAUCCUGGCGGAACCUUUAUAGCUUGUGGCAUGCAAUACCCUGACUUGCUCCUGUCAGAUUUAUAUAUUUUUGGAUUGUACAAUGCCUCGUUCCAAAGUUCUUAUUUAUGAGUUAGUUUGAGGACAAUGCAGUAAAAAGAAGGGAAUAUGAUACUCUUGUCCUUUAAAGUGCUACAUUGGCUUGAUAUUUCAUGCUUUCUAUAUCAUCCAAGUGACUCUACUCCUGUCUGGAUGAAUUUAUGUUGGAUUAGGUGAUAAUUGUUGAUGAUGGAAGUGCUGAUGGAACAACAAGGGUAGCUUUUGAUUAUGUCAAAAGAUACUUGGUAGAGAACGUUAGAGUAAUUCUUCUGGGAAGGAACCAUGGGAAGGGAGAAGCUAUACGAAAAGUGAGUCCAAUCGAGCUAUCUAUCCAUCCUUAACUAUUUAUGGUGAUGUUACUUCUUUUCUCUCUGUUUGUAAUUUGACCUCUAGUAGCAACUGAUUAAAGCUUUUUGCUUCUGUGAAAGCAUUGUAAAACAGGGAAUGCUGCACUCUCGUGGUGAAAUUCUUCUAAUGCUUGAUGCUGAUGGUGCAACAAAAGUAACUGACCUUGAAAAGCUUGAAAAUCAGGUAGGUAGUUGGGUAUGACUUCAAACAACUUGUGCUCAGUUAAAUUUCUCAUGUAUUUAUAUUAUUGUCUUUUGUUUCCCUAUAGCUGAGUUUUUAUGAUAUAUCUAAUAAUAAGCCAUCAGAUCAUUGCAGUUGCUAGGAAGGGACAUGAAUUUGGACAAUCUAUAGCUAGUGAUUCAACAUUAAGAAUAGCAGAUGUCCUAGUUGCUGCAAUUGGUUCUCGUGCUCAUCUCGAGGAACAGGCUCUGGCCACAGUUGAGUCUUGUUAAUUUUUUUUUAUGCAAUGUUAAUAUUGUUCCAUCAAAUAUGAUUGUACAAUUUCUAGGCAAGUAAAAGCUGUUUUAAUUGUGCUUCAGAGGAAGUGGUACCGCAAUUUUUUGAUGAAGGGUUUCCACGUUGUGGUUAUGUUGGCUGUUGGCUCUGGUAUCCGGGAUACACAGGUUAGAUUAUGGUCCAUAAAUUGAUUUAAGUUUUCUCCAUCUUUGUCUCUUGAUUCCCUUCUCAAAAUUGCAGGAUUAUGCUCUUCAUUUAGUUUUAACUACUUGCUCUUUUGCCAGUGUGGUUUUAAGAUGUUUACUAGGGCUGCUGCCCGGAAGCUUUUCACAAACAUCCGUUUGAAAAGGUACUAUUAGUUUUUUUCCAUCUUUGACUUUAAUCUGCUAACUAGGAACCUGGCUUUCUCCUUCAAUUAUGGUAGUAGUGCACUACCACAAGUUUUUUUAUUUUUUAUUUUUUUGUGCUUUGGAUAACUAGCAUUUCCUCUUAAAAUUUUGAAUAAUGAUUUAUUGUUCCCUCUCAUAUUUGCUUGGUCAAUUUGUGAGAAGAUACAGGAAAUAGAUGAGAGUCAGAAUGAGAGUGAGUUAGAGACAUGCUUUUCAAAUAUUGCUGAACUUAGUAAUCUAGCCUGGAACAAGACUCGAUUGCAAGGCUAUUGAGGCAAAGAGGACUAAAACCUCAUGCUUCUAGUUUCCAUUGCCAUCAUCAUCAUCAUAUAUUGAUAGUCAAUGUUCCCAUCUUAAAUUAGUAACAAUGGACUCUGGGAUUUAAGGACAUGAUUGCUAGGCCAGCCCAUUUCAGUUGCUUAUGGAGUGAUGCUGCAUCUGUUUUGAUUGAAUUCAGGUUCUGUUUUCUGGAUGAGUGCACAAUUGUCCUGAAACAUGCCCUACGCUUAGAUGUCUCAUAAUGUAAAAGGUGAUAUGGUUCUUGUUUGCCUAAUAUAGUAAUCUUUCAAGGAUAGGUAUUCUGAAGAAAUAGGAAAUUGGAAGGUGUUUAUGUCUUGGUUGACGAGAUUAUGAAUUUGUCUAAAUGUAAGAUGCUAAGGACAAAAGAAUUGCCUUUAAGAUCUGAAAUGAAAUUGCUUCAAUGGAGGUUAAGAUUAAACUCAUAUAGAUGCAUUUUGUUUGUAUAUCUGUACUUCUUGUUUUACCAUUAUACUGUUAUAACUUUGAUUUUUUUUCCUCUUGCCUUCUCUUUUGCAAGUCUGACUUUUCCCAUGCGGUAGCUAAAUUACAAUUUCUAUUACAGGUGGUGUUUUGAUGUGGAAUUGGUCUACUUGUGCAAUACAUUUCAUAUCCCAAUGGUCGAGAUAUCUGUAAAUUGGUCCGAAAUUCCGGGAUCAAAGAUUAACAUGACAAGUAUUCCCAACAUGUUAUGGGAGAUGGGACUGAUGUCUUUGGGGUAUAGAUCUGGUAUUUGGAAGAUCUAUGGCUGAGUUUGCAGCCUGGGAUAGAUGCAUCAGGGAGUUGUAGUAUGAGUAUCUCAUAUCUUAAACUCAGAAGAGAAAGGCUUACUCGGACAUACGUAAGUAGGUAGCUGGAGGUCUUGCUUUUCUUACGUCAUAGGUUUUUGCAAAGUGAUCUGAUCAAAUUUGAUAUAAAACUAACUGAUUAGCACUCAGAUUUGUCUUUUUCUUUUCUUUUCUUUUCUUUUUAAAUUGAUUUUACUCUGGGAUAACUCGCGAGGGAUAACAACGGAGUUUUGUAUGGACUGGGGCAAUGUUGGGGCCAAGCAAGAGUGCUCCCCUGUUGUUUCUGAAAAUCCAUUGUAUGCCAUACUAGUAGCGCUAUUUGCUUGAAGUCCAUUAUACGUCAUACUUGUGACAUGUGCUCUCGUUCUUUUAAAAGAAAUAUUGCCCUUGAUUCCAUUGGACAUGACAUUUUUGGCUAGGCCGCAAGCGAUUGUAGAUGCAAUUUUCACCAAAAACAGAAAAAGGGAAAAAGGCUGGUAGAGUAAGCUUAAAGAGCGAUUGGCAACUAUAUCAAUGGUUCUUACUUCGCAAGACCGCCCAUGGAACGAUUGAAGGAGGGGAAAGAAUUUGAGGUGAAUAAGGUACUAGUGAUGCUAGCCGGCAGCCGCUACGUUUCCUUCGUAAGCCUAUUGUCCUGGAAGGUUAAAAGAUAGUGGCAAGCGAAACUGGAGUACGUGGCAUAUGUUGCUUUCUUCAAAAUGCGGAAAAUUUAGGUAAACGAAUCCGGAUGGUUCGAUUUUUCACGGUUAUGUUCUACGUGCAAAUUAGACUAUUCACGCGCGAAAACAGGGAUGACGAUUUGGGAGGGUAACUUUAUUGACUUGGAGCAUCCAUAGUAAUAACCUCUACAUCCUGAUUAGAAAAAAAAGGUCAAAAAAAAGAGUUGCAUUUACCAUAAAGCGUUAGCCGGGAAGCAGACAUUAACGUAAAGACAAGCCAAGCCAUCGAAACUGACAUAUUCACUUCCAGGUUGAUAUGGCCGUAUUUUUUCUGACAGUUAUCGACAAAAGUUUAGCAUUUUAAAUUCUUUUCUAUUGGCAUAAAUUUACUUGUAAAGCAACUUUAUGUACCUCCGAUUACAUGUGCAAAUCCACUUUAUAGAUUAGUUGAUGUUAGUUAAUCGUUUUUGUAAUGGAGUAGUUGCAUUUCAUUCCAUGUUACGUAAAAGACUUGAAUGAGAUCAAUCUUUAAAGGCUCAUUUCCAUUACAUAAAUGAUUCGUUAAUCUUGAAAAGACCGACAUGGAUGGUCAUUUCUUGCAUGAAUUCAAAAGGCAAGCGUCGUUCUUCUUCAAGGACAAAAUCAAGGUUGCCCGAUUGGCUCUUCUUGAUGUUACACCAGCUCAACUGUAUGGUUUUAUUUGUAUGCAUCUGUAGAUAAUAUAUCUUUUUUUUUUUCUGCCGUUUUAGUCUGUUCGAUUAAUUUGGCUUGUCAAUUUCUUUUUUUUUUGGGCUGAAAGAUCGACAGAAGAAGCCACAAAUGGAGAUUCCUCAGCACCGGACGCACGUACGAUGAGACUUAUAUCACGUGCUGCCUUUGAAGUUGAUGAUUAUUGGAGAAUCGUUGAUGUUCUGCAUAGAAGGUUUCUCCGUUGGUUGGCUAAAUGAUUUUGUCUGGCUUUGCAUAAGCUUCACAAGUAAUCAUGCAGAAGUUCUUUAUAUAAACGAGUUCUACGCGUCUUUGAUUUGAUGCAGGUUGCAGAACUAUGAUAGACACAAUUGGCGAGCGGCCUACCAGGCGAUGAUAUUGCUGGAACACCUCCUCACGCAUGGACCAGCAAGAGUUGCAGAGGAGUUUCAAGGUGAUCGAGAUAUCAUCAGAGAGAUGGCAAAUUUGUCUUACAUAGAUGAGAAGGGGUUCGUUUAAUUAAUCCCGUGGCUUGUUGUAUAAAGCAAAUAAGAUAUGAUUAUUGGAGCUAUAAAAUCAUCUCCUAUGCAGGUUCGAUUGGGGAUUAAGUGUGCAGAAAAAGGCUGAAAGAGUGCUGAAGCUGAUCAAGGACGGGUCAUUUCUCAAGGAAGAAAGAGCAAGAGAGCAAAAAUUAACAGUGGGGAUUAAAGGGUUUGGGAGUUUCUGUGAACGAUCAAUCUUAACAGAUGAGAGUUCGAAAUGUGCAUAUUCCGAUAAAUAUUUGAGAUGUCAUUCUCACUUUUGUGAACGUCAAAGCACUGAAGACGCUCUGUUGGCUGCAGACGACGAAAGGAUUCCAAAUGCGCAGGAGAUUCGUAAUAGGCACAGAAAUUUAACAACCGAAAACCCAGCACAAAAUUCCGACGCCAACAGAACCUUUGAAGAGAAUGAUCAUCCCUUCUACGGCAAAGAAGAUCAAGCUCUAGUCUCCCUGCUUUCCUCAGGGUGAAACCUUUGCACGGUACUUCUUAAAAGGAAGUUCCUGUAAACACUAUGAUUUUGUAGUUGACAUGUCAUCUCCUUUAGUAUUCUAUAGCAGAAUCAGAGUUGUACGAUAAGAUAUUGUCUUAUGCUUUAAAAAAGUGAAAAUCAGGUUUUAUCUAGAGUUAAAUCAGUUCAAUGUUCACGGUAGGGAAAAGUUUCGAGUGAAAUCCCAAUCCGAACAAACAAACAAAAACCAAGAGGCAGGGCUUCACCAGAUGCACAGAGAGAGAGAGAGAGAGAGAGAGAGAGAGAGAGAGAGAGAGAGAGAGAUCAGAUAGAAACAGUUGAAACUUCUACAUUGAACACAAUAAAACAGUCGGAACAUCCAGCAAUCAACUCCUCGCCAUCUCAAGGCUAUCAACUCAGAACGAGAAUCACAAGUUAAGAGAACAAAGCUAAAAUAUAAUCUUGCAAGCUGCAUAUCUGACCCGCAACUAAAAUAUCAUUCAACACUUUCCCGCAAAAUUAGAAGCAUUUUCUAUGCACGAUUGAGGGACCAGAUUCAUCAUAUUCUGACUUUGCAAUCCACAUCUGCAAACAAAGCAAGCAAUAUAUUAACCAAAGAAUUCCUAAUUAAAGCAAACAAUCAUCUUGUUUUGUAUGUAAGGUAACAAACCUGUUGGAAGGUGCUGAGUGAUGCCAAGAUGGAUCCUCCAAUCCAGACACUGUACUUUCUCUCAGGUGGUGCCACCACCUUGAUCUUCAUGCUGCUGGGAGCUAAUGCUGUAAUUUCUUUGCUCAUCCUAUCAGCAAUGCCAGCAAACAUUGUAGAACCACCACUGAGUACAAUGUUUCCGUAAAGGUCCUUCCUUAUAUCAACAUCACACUUCAUGAUGGAGUUGUAAGUGGUUUCGUGGAUUCCUGCAGCUUCCAUUCCAAUCAUUGAAGGCUGGAAGAGGACCUCAGGGCAUCGGAAGCGCUCAUUACCAAUGGUAAUCACCUGCCCAUCAGGCAAUUCAUAGCUCUUCUCUACAGAAGAACUAGUUUUUGAAGUCUCUAUCUCCUGCUCAUAAUCAAGUGCAAUGUAUGCCAGUUUUUCUUUCACAUCUCUCACAAUUUCCCGCUCUGCUGUGGUGGUGAAAGAGUAACCACGCUCAGUGAGGAUCUUCAUUAGGUGAUCAGUGAGAUCACGACCAGCCAAGUCAAGACGGAGGAUGGCAUGUGGCAAGGCAUAACCCUCAUAGAUGGGAACGGUAUGGCUGACGCCAUCACCAGAGUCCAACACUAUACCUGCAACAAGAUCAUGACAGCAAAGCAUUGGUUAAACAUAGAAAGAAACCACAUUUGAUAUUCAUGACCUUUUCUGAGAAUUUCCUAUUGACUCUAAAGCAUCCAAAAGCUGGUCCCAAAUAGAUUUAUGAGAAUUCACAUGAUUACACUGCAAAAAAUCUCUACCAAAAACAUUCAAAAUUAUGGCAUUUUCUGAGAGAGACUUUUCACAGCAUAUCUGGAAGGACAUUAAGGAGGUAUUCCACAAGCAGCACUUUCUUUUGCUAUCCAGAUAACAUAUUUGGCCUGGACUUUUUAUGCUGUAUAUACUUUAGCGAUCUAUAGCAGCUAAUUAGUGUAUCCUAUAACAUAUGCAGUCAUGAAAAUUUUCAGAUUUAUUUCCAGAUUCCUUUUUUUUUCUUUUCACAUUCUUCACUCCUUUUUUUUUUUUGGGGGGGGGGGGGAGUGGUGGUGGAGGGGUUGAGGCCUUGAGGGAGUGGUGGUGGAGGGGUUGAGGCCUUGAGGGAUUGGUUGAAGACAUUUAGAAACCAAAAGGUGUAAAUCAAAUGCUGAAAAAAAAUGCUUACCUGUUGUCCGACCACUAGCAUAUAGGGACAGAACAGCUUGGAUGGCAACAUACAUAGCAGGAGUGUUGAAUGUCUCGAACAUUAUUUGAGUCAUUUUUUCACGGUUAGCCUUAGGAUUUAGUGGUGCUUCAGUUAAGAGGACAGGGUGCUCUUCAGGUGCCACACGAAGCUCAUUGUAGAAAGUGUGAUGCCAUAUCUUCUCCAUGUCAUCCCAAUUGCUAACAAUACCAUGCUCAAUUGGGUACUUAAGAGUCAAAAUACCUCUCUUUGAUUGAGCUUCAUCACCCACGUAGGCAUCUUUCUGACCCAUCCCAACCAUCACACCAGUGUGACGGGGGCGACCAACAAUACUUGGGAAUACAGCGCGUGGAGCAUCAUCUCCAGCAAAUCCAGCCUUGAAAAAUCAAAAGAGACAGUAAAAAAAUCAUAAAAAAAAAUUGACACUGAAGAUGAGGGAUAGAGCACAAAAGAAGCUCAAAUCACCAAGGAACAAGAUCGUAAAAAGUUGGAACUCUAGUUCUGCAAUAAGAAAUACCAAAACAAAUCCUGUAGUACCUUAACCAUUCCUGUCCCAUUGUCGCACACAAGUGGCUGGAUAUCCUCUCCUUCGGCCAUCUUAUGCUACCUCCUGUACAAAAUCACAGCUUUCUUAAGACAGUACACUACUACCAGAUAUUCUUUUGUUUCCGUAUUUAUCUUUUCCCAUUCUAUAAAUAAAUACAAAACUAUUUGAAAGAAGCAGUUUAGUAGAAUAACGAAAUGGUUUUAUUCGACCCUCCCUCCUUUCCGUUUUGGUUCCAGUACGGUAUGGGCUAGGAACUCAGGAACCUCAUAAGGAGGACUGGAAAUAACAGAAUAUAGAAUAUUAUGCACUGGAUACAAUGAACUUUAUCUUUUUUGCUACUUUUUUGGGAGGAAGUAGAUGAUCCAACGUGUCACGCACAGAAAAAAUGAAUAAAAAUUCCUGAAUUAUGACAUAAAAAUAAAAUGUGGAAACAAAUAUUAGAGAGUGAAAAACAUAAAACAGCUCAAGUUUCAAAAAAAAAAAGAAAUUUUUUUAAGAAAAUAGCGAUCACAUCUCAUCAAAUACAUGCAACAUACAAAUAUACAUAAAAAGAGAGGAAAAAGAGAAGAAAGAAAAGGAGUGAGCUUCAAAAGAACUGAGAAGCACAUCCAUGUACAAUUCUGCACAUAAUCAUCAUGUAAACACGAUAUGCAUUCGAAUCAAUUUUACUUUCGACAUUAAAGAAAAUGGCAAUGAAUCGAAUGGCACAAGUUAGAUCGGAUCAAAAAGCAUAAACAACACAACCGAAGGCUCACAAUUAUCAAAAAAUUGCUCAUUAAUCACCCAGUCUUUCUCGAAAAGACUCAAUAAAAAUGCUAUUAAUGCACAGAACCCACAUAUCCUAGAACAAAAAUGCAAGCAAAAGAUCCAUUAAAACCACAAAUAGACUAGCAUUUUAGCGACAUGCAUUUCGCAUUUCACCCAAAAACUCGACGUUCCACAAAUAUAUGCCAAUCAAUACUAGCAUAAAAAAUCUCUUAAACACCACAUCACGGCGAGAAAAGGAAAAAAGAAAACAUAAAAAUUAAUUCAGAAACUCGCUUAUGCAUAAGAAACGUGAUCUCAGCAGGAUCAAUCAGAGAUCAAGAGCUACACUGUACAAAAAAAGCCAGAUGCAAAAUGAAUUAAACAACAAAUGCACCGAUUCAAAAGUCUAAAGAUAUAAAAUGAGGAGCAAUUGUGCAAAAUGAAAGGAAAUAGUAUACCUUUUCGAGUGCGUAAAAGAGAUGAUUGAGGGCAAACGAAAAGGAGAUAAUAAUAGAACAGAAAAUGGUGGGUGGAGGAAAUGGCCUCCUCCUCCUCCUCCUCCUUAGCACUGUGGAUUGGGGUAAAAAAACGUACAGCUAAAUGAGUUGCGCUCCCGUGUUCUCACUUGGGAACCGAGAAAUUUGAGGGAUUAUAAUGAGGAAGGGCGACGAAUCUGGACCGUUGGAUGGCCUCCAACAGUCUGGAUGUGCGGACAGGGAUGACACGUAGCGAUCGUGGGGGCUAUAAUUUCUUCCUCCUCUUCGUGGUGUCCACUGCCGCCUCCUUUUCCGCUUUUUCUUUCAUUUUUUCUCUCUUUUUCCGGUUCCCCUCAGACCCCUACCUCUCCCCCUCCCGCUCUGUACAUAUUAGUACCAAUAGAUCAAUUUUUUUUUUCCUACAUAUUAGUUUUUGCUACUAAUAUCUCUUUCUAUUCUAAUUGUAUAUCCUAAUUUUAAUUCGGAGCUUGGAGAUUAUCUCCCAAAAACAUUUUUUUAUUUUGAUUUGGACGUUGGUUUUAAGUUGACGGUGGGGAAAUGAUUGGGAUUUAAAAUGGACUAGAGACAGAUGUUAGUUGAACGCGGACAUGAUAAUGUACUACAAAAUUUCUCAAUUUCAAAGAGGGAAAUGAGGGAGGUCAGGUGAAUUUUGAGAGGCAAUUGUUACGGUUUUGUUUGUGGAUAUUAGUCAAUUUCUCCCGCAACUAUUUUGCGGCUAUUCACUUGCUGCGUCUAUGGACCUCACAUGUCCUAUUUUGGAAGUGGACUCCUAUCUAAUGGGAGGCUCUCUCGACCCAUCAAAAUUUGUUGCAACCCCAAAACCAAAGCAUAAAUAAUACUACUAGUAACAAGCACCUCAGAAACUAAUCUGCCAAUUCUUUUUCAUCUUUAGUGGAGUAGCUUUUUCUGUGAAAUAAGCAACUCUUUUUUUUUUUUUUGGACAAAUGCUGCAUUACAAUUUACACUUACAUUACUCGUACCAUUCUUCACAUGGGGUGGUCUUGUAAGAACUUCCCCCCAUAUUACCAUUGGCAAUCUUUUAACUUUUUUUUUUUUUUGUGUCUAGGUUUCUCAGUUUACAUAACGGGGAUAACAAAUGGUCUUUUGACAAUUUGUGAAUAGUAGCAUGUUUCUAUAUGUCAUACAUGCUCCUCCUAUAGAAUUAUAUAGUAUAACUGCUUCUUUUGACCAUGCUCAAUGUGGAGAAUAGAUGUAAUUAGACCUAUUGAUUCUCCGACCUCAAAUGGACAGGUUGAUGAGAUAAAACCUAUACCAACGAAUAAAAUAUUGGCGGAUAAAACUCAAACCCAACACUAAGUAUAUAUUUCAUCUCAAAGUGGUGGAACGAACGAGAAAGAAAGAUCAAAUUGUGGAGACAAAUAGUCUUUGCGCGCUGGCAUCAGGGAAUGAGCUUUCCAAAGUAUAUAACAACCUAAAAGAUAAGAUGACACGUGUGAUGCCUUGAAAAAUUUAUGCCCCUUUCUGUCACGUAUAUAUAGUUGUCAUUAAUAUGGAGAUGCUAAAUCCUCUACUUUGGUAGCAAAUGUGCAUCCUGUAAUAACAACCUGAGGCGGAUCAGAGAUGAGCUUUUUCCUCAUUCCAUCCCAACACAGUUGUCAUCCUCGAAACUUUUUUUUUUUUUUCUAUUUAAUUAAGAUAUGCGUAAUUUGGCCCCGCGCCCCAUUCCUCCAACUUGAUGCCACUCCAUUCUCUUAUCAGUCGAGUCGAGCGUCAUGUCUGGACGCCAAAAGGUUGCUCAAUUUACAUGACAACAGAGUGUUUUGCGAGAAACUCUGCAGGCAAGAGAUCCAAGAACUCUCUGAGAUGGGGAUGGCACUAAGACAGAACCAAAGACAGUUUAUGACCUGCAGUGGUUCAUCUGUCUCAACUCUCUUAAGUGCUGCAGCUUUUAUACAGAAAUGAGAAAUCAAAUUUCCUGGUCGAGAUUCAAACGAUGAACCCAUAGGUCCCGUUUGGCCUCCAAAGUGGCUUCCUUGAACAUUUUUCACAUAUUUGUAAAGUGCACGUCCAUGUGAUUGCCAAAUCAGGGAUCAAGAAUCUGCCUAGAGCCAAGAUUUUCAUGCAAGGAACUAGCGCAACUUUUACACCUGUACAAUGUCCCAUGGCUUAAUCAUAUCUGCUGUUGUUGGAUCAUGGAUGGUGAACUUGCCUUUUGAUCUUUGGACACUUGACAAUAGCAACAAUCAACAAUUGGAGCCGCACAAGUAUCCAGUACACACGCAUACGGUAUAUUGCUACGGAACCAGCAUAUCAGGGGGUUUAAGACGAUAAGCAGGAGAAAUAUGAAAUACGAUCAAAAUUCUAGAAAAGAUAAAUAUGAAAGUACAUGUAAUGAUUGAAAAGUGGUGGUACUGACAUUGACAGCACAAGUAGCACUGACCAUUCAGAGGUUAACUGCAACCAAAGAUGGUUCUAAGGAAAGAAAUGAAAGGAACAGUACCACAUUUCAAUUGAAGCUUGACACAAAAAUGAGCAAAGGUGAAAAUAUGAUCCAUCUUUUGGAUCAAUUUAAUCUGAACUGACUGCGCACAACCAUUAGCACAUCCGACCAAACUCAUAAUCUCAUUGCUUGAGCAUCACUUCUGGCCUGCCAAUCACUUACAGGAAUGGGGGCAAUAUCACCCAUCUUCGAGGAUACUUGGGUCUCCCGUCCUUUCCAUCAAAUAGCUGCAAAGUAAAGUGAAAAUGAACAUCAAAACAAAGUGAAGAACAGACUAACACGAGUUAUCUCAAUUCAUUACAAUUACACUGGUAGUGAAUGUUCUUCUGUCAAUUAUUAAUUUUUUUUAAAAGGCUCUACAACUAGAUAGAGAGUUUGGAGCGAUAAUGAAAUUGAGGAAUAGCUUCACACUGCAAUGAUGCAUAGAUUUAUUAAAGCAACUACAGUGACUACACAAGCCACCAGAUGAAUAACUUAGCAAAAUGGUCAGAUUCAUAUCAUUGGGGAAGUUCAUACUAGCAGACACUGAAAAGGAGAGAUUCUGCUAUGGCAUCUUGUGCAUGUAUUUCAAAACAAAAUUUACCCACAGUAACGGCAAAAGGUUCACGAACAAGACAAAUAGUUUAGUGAUCUAAGAAGCCGGUGAUAGAAUUGUACAUUUACAUGCAUAGGAUUUUAAUUUUUUUAAUCUUCUAUCAAUUAAAUACACGUCUCAAUAUGAAGAACGUUUAGACGUCUAUCGCCUCUGGAUAUACACAAGUUUGGAUCAAAGUAAGAACGAAAAGAAGGCUACCUUCCUCAAUCGUCUGUGCUUUGCAAGUGCCCAGUUAGUCAUAAUGGCAGCUGCAACAACCAUGAAAACAUAGCCAGCUACAGCUUGCGUUGCAAUGUUGAAUCCCAGCCACUGGUAAAUUUCUGUGGUGUAAUUGGCACAUGUAACGAUAUUGAAGAGGAAGCCACGUGGGAUUUGAUAUCCUCCACUACCAUCAGCAGGACGAAGCUUUCUCAACAAAAUAUGGCAAUAGAAGUUUGCCAAUUGACAAGCCAACCCGAUACCAAAGCCAAUCUUCACUUGGAGAUCAUUAACAGGCGUGUAAAGUGGGUGAUUGACAUAAUAAGCAAUAUAGGAGCCAAAGCUCCAGUAAUAAGCACAAUUACGGAAGACAUUUGAAAGUGGGGAAGUGGCAUGGCUGAAACGGUGCACGAAGAAUGUUUCCAUGAUACGCUUGAAGUAGUGGAAACACCAGUAGUAUAAUGCAUAUGUCUGAACAGGGUGGAUGACACGCUUGCCUUUAUAGCCGAAAAAUUGAUUCACAUUGAAGAAGUAGAAAAGAGGAUAAAGAAUAAGAGGCCCCAAGUAUUCCCAGAAGAAAAGUGUGCUGUAGGCAACCUGUGGACCUAGGUCCUUGAACGCUACAGUCAACUCAUUUGUGCUCUCACCAAUGUACUCUUUGAGACUCUUCUUGUAGUGAAGAAUGGUAGGCUUCUCCUUGGAUCCAGGUGGGAGAGGGAGGGUGAGUCUUUGUCGAGAGGGAUAGUAUCUCUUGGCUGUUAACAAAAACGAGCUUAAUACAACACCUCAUAUGGAUUAAGGAACAAUUACCAGACACAGAGAGACAAAACAAGCUACAGACACGUAGUCCAGGGAAAAAAAAAGAAAAAAGAAAAAAACCAAAGCAAGUUGCAAUUCAAAGAACCAAUGCUGCAAACAGUCAAUGAGUUUCAGAUGAUGCAAUAUGGGGAUGUUCUGGCACUGAAGAGCAUUGUCACCAAAUGAUCAGGAAUCAUGAUAAAAAUUUGAAUCUUGAAGCUCUAAAAGUAAGCCUUAAUAAUCAGAAGUGCAUAAACUUUUUUUUACCCUUUAAUUUGUAUAAGUUGACAGUGGAAUAUCUCUAAAUGCGCUACACAAUUCUACAGAAUGGAAAAGCAAUUGAGAAUCUUGAUGGCACUAGCCUCAAAAUUAAAAAAUGCCCACAUUGUCACAGAAUCUGUGUGCUGCUCAAACAUCCAAUGCAACUAAAGUUCAUGAACGAUCUGAAGAUAAAAUCUUCCAUAUUUAACAAUAUAAACAUCAAAAUUAAACUCAUGAAUAGCGUAGCAACUAUUCACAACAUUAUCUUACAUGCACAACUGUAUGCAUUUACUUUGAUCUUUCACAAUUGUUUAGACUCCUGACAGUGAGGAUUUGAUACUAUGAGAAAGAAAUGAAACAUUUCAUGGUUACUAGUAAAGAACAACGCUUGGAAAACUAAGUUCACUAAGGAAAGCCCUGUACAUUUGACAGGGUUCUGACAGUCUUCACAGGGGAAAGUUUGGCCACUUCACCUCACUGCCGUCGCUCAAUGAGUCCAUAAUGCUCAUGAGAUGAACCCCGAUGGCGGAGAAACUCAAGAUUCAGAUCAAUGUGGCCUAUCAAUAAACCUUAGAUUUUAGCUUCGCGAAAGGGCCAUCUGCCCUCGAUCUUUACAAAAGAGGCAAGAGAAAGUGUAAGAAAUCUCAGAACUUUCGCUCCUUCCCACAGUCAAUUUUAAGAAAGGUUCAAACUGGAUAUUUCUAUCCAUUCAAUUGAAAAAAAAAUAAAAUCGAACAAAAACACGGCUAAUUAACCCAGAAGAACCUGGUAGGAUUGAACAAUAAUAACAUACUGCUUGUAAUAGUAAAAAUAAACCGUGCCAAUGUCGAGAAAUGGGUAUGUUUGGAUUGUGGACUAUUUUCAAAAAUUUAUUUGCUUGCAUGAUCAACCUAUUUUACAAACAUUUUUUUUUAUCUCACGGGCAUCACAUAAAAAAAAAAACUAUAAUAUCUACUAUCCAGGCAUAAAAAAGAGGGAAACUUGCAAGAACAAGCAGACUUGCACAGGCACUCGUAAUAACAAACACGAAUUCAGCUCAGAUUAUAAACCUCGAAAAUAACGAAACCCAAGAAAGCAAAGCAAUGUGAGAAGCAUUUUCUACUGACUUACUUCGCUUAUGGAUUGCCUCCUGAAGAUCAGCAACAGUAGCCUACAAGGACAGAGCCCAAAACCCAUCAUAUUUUCUCUCAAUUCUAGUGUUGCAAAUAACUUUUAGCUAAAUUGAGAAAAUAACAAGAGAAGAAGAGGACGAAUAGAAUAGCAUACGGAAUCAUCGAGGUCAAGGCCACCCUUUACUAGUUCUCUGCCGCUACGUGUAACGACCGUCACCUUCAUCCUUCAAAGAGUAAGCCUCCGAAAGACACAGCGAGAAAGGGUACAAAAGUUCUGAGAGGUGGAACGAAGAUCUGAGGAUCGCUGGUGUUUCGGGACUGGGGGGGUUAUAAAUAUAAUAAUUAAUUAUAAGAGUACUGAAAUGUUUAUGAUGAUGAAAAAUGCUGAUGGGGGUGGGGGCGGAGCACGUGAGUUGGCAAAUGAGUGGGCGUUGCCUUGAGUCUAAUGUCGAUCCAAUGGCAGAAAUUAAUGGCGUGUGGUUGGGAAGUAGAUAAACAGCCCAUUCGCACCGAUGAACCACCUUCCCGCUACCGGUCCUAUUCUGGUAGUACUACGCCACCACACUUCACGAAUAUCUGAAAACAGGAAAAUCCUAAGUCAAUUCGUGGGCUCUUUCCCUGAUUUGACUACCCUGUUACAACUUUUAGAGCAAUGAAUUCUGUUACUUCGGAUUAUUGGACCAGAGAUACAAGAAUUAUUACGCACAACAGCCAACUGGACUACUAUUGUUCCAGUGAGGAUUGCGCAGGGGAACUACUAGGUUCAUUAAUUAAUUCAAUAGAAUUGGAUUUGGCAAUACUCAGCACGGCAAGUGGGAUUAAGGCCCCUAUAUUUUGAAAAAAUGUACUCUCAAGAAAUGACUUGGCGAACCGCUGGAACAAUCCAAUUUGCUGAUUCUUAUCAUUUCUCCAACCCCUAAACUUUUAUGGAGAGAUUUGAAAGGAAGUUUGUGGAAGAAAAAAGCAGUUUUAUAAUCGGCACUAUCUUCUUCUAAAAUGACUUAUCAUUGGCAGUGGCUGUUACGUUCUUGCAUUUCUCCUAAGUUAGAUAUUCUGAGCUUUAUUUUUUGCUUCACACAAAAUUUUGCGCUCGGUGGAAAAGAACAGGGUGGGACUGCCAAUUACUCCGGUUUGCCAUGGGAAUGGCGUAUCAAUUAGCACGUAACAUCAACCAUGUUUUAGGGGCCAUAUUUAAUACAAACAGUUGAUUACACGUGCAAUUUGCUUGCAAGUAUCAAUUAUAUCUAAUUUGACAAUAAAAUACGGCUGGAUUUACUUCAAAUUUUCCUUUGCAUAACUGCUAAUAUUAGUAAACAGUGGUCUCUAAGACAAGCCAAAUACUACUGAUUAUUGCAAGGAUUUGGGGAUUGAGAAUGAGCUCAAAGACGGUUGCAGUUCUCCAUCUCUAACUUGAUGUGGAUUAUUAGCAUGCCCUAGACACGUCACGAAGAGAUCAAACUUGAACCGAAAUUCAAAUACUAGAAGACAAGUCCCCACCUAAAAAAGGAAAAAUGGGGAUCCAAAUCACAGUGGAACUCAUGAAAUUGUAUAUACUUAAAAAAAGUUUCAAAUGUAUAAAGUUAUGAAGCACCACUGCUGGUAGCGACUGACUCCUGAAUUACAGCUCAACAGACAAGUGAAACUGGAAAUUCAUCAGUGUUUUUCCACGGGUUCUCGUUGAGCCCCAUCAACGCUUUUCUCAAUUGGAGGCAAAGUCUGCAAGCUCACCAGCAAACUACAUUACAAUUUUAGGCUAACUUCACAAAAGAGGUCCCAGUUAAAAAUACUAGUAAAACUCAAGAGGAAAGUUUUGCACGGUUCGUAUGGGCAUUUUAUCGAACAGUUGUACGAGCUGUGUGAGUAUUU